Molecule: long non-coding RNA, 61247 nt
Filed under: Ricinus communis (castor bean)
Lineage: Eukaryota; Viridiplantae; Streptophyta; Magnoliopsida; Malpighiales; Euphorbiaceae
Description: long non-coding RNA (RCOM_LNC000569)
Source: RNAcentral
GAAUCCAUAGUCUAGUAGUGGUGGGGGGGAGGAGGAGAUGCAUAUAUGUAGUGGGGUGGUGGCGGCUUGUGGACCGGGGGUGGUGGUGGAGACUUGUACUUGUAAACUGGAGGAGGUGGUGGUAGAGACUUGUACUUAUAUGGCUUCUUUGGUGGUGAUGAAGGUGGAUACUUGUGCACUGGUGGUGGUGGAGGUGGAGACUUAUAUUUGUAUACUGGAGGGGGUGGUGGAGGAGACUUGUAUUUGUAUGGGGGUGGUGGAGGAGAAUAGACUGGUGGUGGGGGAGAUUUGUACUUGUAAACUGGUGGAGGAGGUGGUGGGGACUUGUACUUGUAGGGUUUCUUGGGUGGUGGAGGAGACUUAUACUUGUAAACUGGAGUAGGAGGUGGUGGAGACUUGUACUUGUAAGGCUUCUUAGGUGGUGGUGGGGAAUACACUGGAGGAGGAGGUGGGGUGACUUAUACUUGUAAACUGGAGUAGGAGGUGGUGGAGACUUGUACUUGUAGGGUUUCUUAGGUGGUGGUGGAGAAUACACUGGUGGAGGGGGUGGAGGAGACUUGUAUUUAUAAACUGGUGGAGGAGGUGGUGGAGACUGGUACUUGUAAGGCUUCUUGUGAGGUGGUGGAGAAUAAACUGGUGGAGGAGGUGGAGGGGAUUUGUACUUGUAAACUGGAGGUGGUGGCGGUGGAGACUUAUACUUAUAAGGUGGUGGAGGUGGAGGUGGAGAGUACACUGGAGGAGGAGGAGGUGGUGAUUUGUAUUUGUAUGGUGGUGGAGGAAAAGACCCACAAUAUAUAUUUAACAUUAUCAAUGCGGACUUUAAGUUCUGAAGAUGCUAGUAUUCCUACCCAAGAUAUAAGUCAAGUCCUUCGCUUUGCUUGAGUCGAUCUUAACGUGUGUGACUUUUUAGGUUCAUUAUUAAUUAGUAAUAGGAAUUUAAUAUUAAAUUCUUUAAUAUUAAUCAAACCAAUUUAAUCAAUUAAGGGAAUAAUUAAAUAAUUGUCCUUCAAUUGCUUCCAUAAAUUAUAAAUGAUGUCUAGCAACAUAUUAUAACUACCUAAUUAAUAAUAAAGGCAUUGAUCAUCCAUGAACCCAUUAUUUAUGAUUACCAUGUAAUUAAUCCUUCUACUGAACAAUAUCCCGAUCAAGUGAGGAUCAUGGAAUAGAUAAAUCCACUAACUUGAUUCCAUGACCAAAUCCAUGAUACAUCUCAACUAAAUAUGAUUAAUACGAAAACCCUUUUUUCCAUUAAUCAUAAUUACCUCGGCCAAGGAUUUCCUAGUUAAGAUGUUGCCAUAUCAUAUAGGACAUUUUCCUUGUUUACUCAAGGUAAUGGAUUCCUUGUUGAUGAAUACCUGCCUCCAUGCAUAUGUAACUAGAGCCACUAUCUGCAAGUACCCAUUCUUAUCAUUAACAAAUACCUAUAGCAUAAGCAAAUUCCAAUCACAUAUUCAUGAGACGACUUUGUCAUCUCAAAUCUAAGGAUUAGUUACACCAUCACAACUUAAUAAUAAAUCAAUGGCUUAAGUAAAUUAUCCAUGUGAUUUAUUAUUUCUGCAAGUCAUGUUCAGUCCACUUAUUUCACAAGUGACCCAUUAUAAUUAACUUAGUAACUCAUACUAAAUGGCAUGAGACUCAUCAUUCUCUAUAUAUAUUAGUAUCUCAUACUAAUCAUAGGGUCAAACACAUUAUGUUGGUCUUCUAGAUUAAAGACGUCUAAUAUUUAAUCCUACGACCAAGAACUAUUAUAUAAUAUUCUAAAGAUCAUUUGUCGUUCAUAUUCUCAACUCUUAAGAAUUGAGUCUUUAAUAAAUAUUAUUGGACUCAUUUAAUAAUUAUAUUACUACAAAAUGAAUGAAAGACAACUACCAUAAAUAAAAAAAUAUUCAUUACAUAAUAAUAUCACAAUGUAUGAACCAAAAAGUAAAAAGUCCAAUUGGCUUUUAGGACAUACAUCUAACAACACCAACCUAUUGUAUGAGAUGAACACUAUUAGAAAGCCUUUGAUAAAAUGAAGGAGUAUCUAAUGAAGCUCAUUGAACCACUCAUUAGCUCCGUAGAAACUGCGGCGAAUCGGGUCGAUACAGUAUUAGUUUGAAACAUACAAAAGCAGGUUUAAGUACACAUAUACAUGCAUUGAAGUCAAAAAUCAUGUACGAAUGCUAUUUCCUUCAAGUUUUUAAGGAAAUCGGUGCACAAGAGGUCAUUUCACCUAGUGCUAAUCAGUUGUUCAUCUAAGGCAACCCGAUUGUUCUUCGAUUUUGCAUAAUUUUUGGCAUUUUAUGUGUUGUUUAAGUGUAUAAAUGACAGAUACACAAGAAUAGCAAGAAAAAGAUACCUCAUCAACGGUCGAAAAAAACCUAAUGUGUGCUCAAUUUGGCCAAAAGGAGGAUUUUUUCCCUUUUCACCAACCCUAAGUCAUUUUGAUACAAAUCGGUGGCGAGAACUCCCGAUUUGGUGCAGCUGGGGGUGCAGCUUACUGAUUUAGAAGAACUCGCUAUUUCAAGAAAAAAUUGGAUAGAUUUAGUUAAUAAUCGAGAGAGAAAUCAAAGAAAGAUAGUAGAAGGAGUUAGAAGGAAAAUAAGUGAAAUGACAGAAUAGAGAGAAAAGGAUAGAUAUAAAAAAGGAAAACGGUCAUUUUGGUCCCUAAUUGAUAAAUUUUAUUUUGGCCCUUAGUUGAAAAUUACUAAUUUAGUCCCCGUAGGAUAAAAAAAAUCGAAUUACAUCCCGAAGCAGAAAUUAUGAAAGAAAGUAAAGCUUAUACUAGUUCAGCACCCGAAAGUGGGUAAUUUACCAAGUCACAACUCGAAGUGCAAAUCACAAAUUUUUUCCUUUCGGAAGCAAAAGGCAACCAAGAAAAUUCCAGACAAUCAAUAGUGUUAGUGCCUAUCACCUAGAAAUUUGGGCACAACGGGUUGAUGCUUCUUCAAAAGAUUAAAGAUAGGAUCACAAACCAUUGUGAGCUUGGAAAUAAAUCUGCUAAUAUAUUGCAAAUGUUCUAGAAAACCUCUGACUUCUUUCUUCGUCUUCGACGCUGGGAUCUGUUGAAUAGCCUUGACCUUGUCCAAAUCGAUCUCUAUGCCUCGUAGAUAGACUAUAUGCCCUAACAGCUUCCUUGAUGUUACUUCGAAGACACUCUUCUUCAAGUUGAGUCACAGCUUAUACAUUGCCACUCAUCCUAAAAACUUAUUGAGAGCCUAAAAGUGCCCUUCCCUUGUUUCAGACUUUACCAUCAUGUCAUCCACAUACACCUCUACCUCCUUGUGCAUCAUGUCAUAAAACAAGUGUUGGGAAUUGAAAUUAAAACAUAUGGAAAGGUGCGAUAAAAGCAAUUUAAUUUUUUUUUAAUUCCCACCAAGGAUCUCAUUCAUUUAGAUAGUCAUAACACACAAAACAAGCAAAAGAUGGAGAAGGCUUAUAAAGGAUGCGUGCCGCUGAUAGAUUAUAAAUAGUUAUACUUAUUGUGUUUAAUACCCUUAUAUUUUGAUUGGAUAUUGUGCUUAAUUGUGGAAAUUAUGUUUGUUCUGAUCUAGGUGGUGAAAUAUCAAGGAUUGAGUGAAAUUCAGCCUAAAGAAAUGUUUUAAAGCAUCAUUUGUCAAAACCAAGUCUUUUGGAGGAAGAGGGAAAAUUUAUGCAAAAGGUCAUUUUCAAUAGGGCGUGACCACGCCCAACAAUCUGUGAGCUGUUAGAAUCUGUUGAAGAGAAUUUCAAAUUUUUAGUUAAAUUCAUGGUGGACCCACUUUUAUGUUAUUUCCUUUAUUUUUGGAAGUGCUAGCUAAGGAAAGUUGACUCCCAUACUAUUUAGGAUUUUAUUUGUUUAGAUUAUCCUUUAUCUUAUCCUUCCUUAUAGGAGUAAGAUUAUAUAGGAAGUUUGUUUCCUUUUAGAUAAGGAUUAUCUUAUUAGGGUUUAGGUUUGACUUCCUAUAUAAGGAGGCUAGUUCUACAAAGAGGGAAUGAUUGAGAGCUUUGAUAUUUUUAUUAUUUUUCUUCUUCUACAACUCUUGUGAAUUUUUACUCCACCAUGUGUGGCUAAGCUUUUAGUUUUUGAUUCAAGAGUGAAUAAAUUUCAAUUGUGAUUUUGUAAGGCUUUGUGCUCAACAGAAUUCUUCUUUAAUUCAAGUAUUCUUUAUUUCUUAUUUUUAUUGUUUAUGAAUUUUUGAUAUUGAUUGAACUGAUGACUCAAUUUCAUAUUGAUUUUUCUAUUACUAACCUUGAGUAUGUGAUCUGUAAUUGUCAUGAAUGAUUAACAUAAGUAGCAAGGAACUGACUCAUGUGUGUGUGAUUGCGGCCUUUUCGAAUUACAUAGCUUGCAUGAUAGACUCUAGGGAAAUAAAGGAACAAGAUUAAUUCAAUUGCAGCUAUCUCGAUUAAUUAAUAUUGGUUUAGUCAUUCUCAUUAUUCUUAAUGCUAUCAUUGAGUUGAUAUGGAACGCUAUCGUGCCCAGUUGACUAAUGGUAAGUUUUUAUUUGGAUGCUGGGUUUGAGUCAAUUAUAUUAGGAAUAAAUAGACUAAGUACUUGAAUAGAAAAAUUGAUAUUUAAGCCUAUGAUCAGAAUUACAAUUGGAUGGAAUUUGCACUCUUGAAUUGGAAGUUUGGUAAGAUUGAUUUUUAUUUACUUGAAUAUUCAACCUUUAUUAUUUUUUGUUUAUUUAUAAUUUUGGUUCAAACAUUCAAACCUCCCCAUUUUUAUUGUUUAACUUUGAGAAGCUAUUCACAUUGGUUCCCUUGGGAUUCGACCUGGUUUCACUAUUUCUACAAGUUAGUUUAGGAAAAUCAGUAAUUUAUUUUGAAGGGCUUCGACAACCCGUUCAAAAUUUGUGCCUAUUCCAAGGAGUGCUUCUUGCUUUAUUGAUUCUUGAUUCUUCAAAGAUGAUUGAUGCACUUUGAUAAUGUCUCAUGACAUAUUAUUUUAGAUAAUGAAUUCUUCAUUGAUAACUUAUUAUCUUCAUAUGACUCUUAGUAUACACAAUGACUAUCCCUUGAGCACUCCAUGGAUAGGAGAACAUAAGAUAGUAUCAAAGUAUAAGAAUCCUCAUAUAAGAUAAUAUAUUGUUAUCUCAAGUCUAAGGAUUACAUGAUUGUCAUAAGAAUAUUAUCCAUAGACACUUGGGGUAAAUUCCAUAAGGACUACUUAGUAGGGUCAUGUUGAAUGAACUUAUUCUUGUAACAAGCACCCAUAUGCUUAUAUCAGAAUCUUUAUUCUUCAACCUUAUGAGAUAGAUUGCCUACUUCAAAAGUAAGUGAUAACACAUUAUGGUAGUCUCGAGCGUUUGAUCAAUAUCCAACAAUUAAUAUCUAAUUCUUGACCAAACAUCGACUAUGAACAAAGUUAAUGAACGUAUUUAAUGAGAACCUUAUCAUUAUAAACUCACUUUAUAAUUUCUCUUAUAUUUGUGUUUACAUUCUAUAGUGUUCAUCUUUAACGGUUUAGAUUAUUCCUUAAUGACACCUGACUACCCAUAUCAUUAGAGUCGAACAAUGCCUUUAGUAUAAUUGUAUGCCAUCAAUUGUAAUGUGAAAUUAACAUAGAUCAUCUAACAACUCUUUGUCUUUAGGUUAUACUCUAACAACAAAGUAGUGGCUGCUCUCUGAUAAAGUGUUCUGGUGUUCUUUAGUCCAAAGGCAUAAUCCAUUUAGUAGUUGGAAAUUUGAAUAGCAAGAACUAGUUAAUGAUCACUUAGAGAUAUAGGUAAUUAACUAGCCGGAUUAAGAAUUAACAACUCUUAAUAGCAGUGGAUUAAUCUUAAGGCUAAUCUAAAAUCGAUCGUUAGGAAGAGAUUCUGUCGUUUAGGUUCUUAAGUUUAGGAAUUUGAUGUUCUCGAGAGGGAACUCGAAUUCAAUUUACAAUCCACUCACGAGUAAUUACAAUUGGUAAUCAAUCUAAUUUCUACCUUCACUAAAAUCCAACUAGCUUAGGUCCCCUUAGGUUUGCUUUCUUUCCUUGUUUGUUUCACUAAACCUUUGCAGAUUGCUUGACAUUUAGCUUGCAUCUAGUCAUAGAAUAGUAACUUCGUCACUAUUAUUUAAGGUUAGAUAAAAUAAGACGUUGGAGUAGUUCUAGGCUCACCCUUUCCCGAGAAAAUAACCUUGAUACUCGCUAUUAGUGCUAGUCUGCAUCGACAGGUUCACUGCCUUAGAUUGUAGCUACAUAAAUAGCCCAUCAAGUAUUUGGCGCCGUUGCCGGGGAUUUUUGUGUGAACUAGAGUGAAUUUGUUUUUGUGUUACUCUAGCCAUUUUUGUUUUCUGUCUUUUGAUUUUUCUUUUCCUUAUUCGUCUAUUCAUUUCUAUGUUCUUUGAUUGUUGCCUUUUAAUUUCAGGUAGUUUAUAACAAGGAGCUCUAAUCCUACCACUGUAGACCCUCUUGCUGAACCAGAGCGAUCCCUCCGUCUUUUAAGGAAGCGUAUGCAAGAAGAAGAGGAAGCGCGGAUAGAGAUUGAAGCCCUACGAAUAGACCGGCAGAGAUGGGAGACAACAACAACUAGGCUGUAGAUGAAAAUAGGACAAUGUAUGAGUUUGCUAGGCCCUUUCUUGUAGGGACACAAACGAGUAUAGUGCGACCACCUAUGGCAGCCAACAACUUUGAGAUAAAGCCGAACGUGAUACAAAUGGUCAAGAAUAAUGUCCAAUUUGGGGGACUGCCGAGCGAGGACCUAAACGCUCACAUAGCAACUUCUUGGAGAUCUGUGAUACCUUCAAGAUAAAUGGAACGACUUAUGAUGCCAUUCGGUUGAGGCUGUUUCCUUUUUCUUUGAGGGACCGAGCGAAGAGAUGGUUGCAAUCUUCCCAGCCAACACUAUUACAACAUGGAGUUCUUUGGCUGAAAUUUUUUUAUAUAAGUACUUUUCUCCUACUAAAAAUGCGAAAUUGAGAAAUGACAUAUCUUUUUUUGUGCAGUUCAAUGACGAGAGUAUGUAUGAUACUUGGGAGAGGUACAAGGAUUUGCUUCGAUGUUGCCCGCAUCACGGAUUACCAGUAUGGAUGCAGGUUCAAAUGUUCUAUAGUGAUUUGAACCUCGGUACCAGGCAUAUGGUAGAUGAUGCAGCAGGUGGGGCCCUAAACAAUAAGAUGCUAGAGCAGCCACAAAAUCUGAUAGAGGAGAUGGCCAUGAACAACUACUAGUGGCAAUCCUCUAGGAGUCGGCCAGUCAAGCAAGGAGUGGUUAACCAGCUAGAUUCCACAACAGCCUUGGCAGCUCAGGUGGAGCUUCUGACCAAGAAAAUAGACCAACUCUAGAUGCCGGUUCAUGUAGCACAAAUAAGCUACGAUUUUUGUAGUGGCCCGCACUAUGAUGCAAACUGUAAUGUAGGAGGUAUGUUUGCUUCACCUUCCACUUCUUCUCCUUCUCCAUCCUCUAUUGUUUGUACUGACCUUGAACAAGUAGACUAUAUGGAUAAUGCACCUAAACUGCAAAACAAUUCAUACAGCAAUAAACACAACCCAGGUUGGCAUAAUCAUCCUAACUUCAGUAGGAGGAAUAACAAUGCCUAGGGACCACCCGGCUUUUAGAGAUUGCAUCAGCAACAGCCCCAAUCGCAAGCUGGUCCAUCCCAACUACCUCCACCUCAGGAGAAGAAGCCCGAUCUCGAGGAGUUGGUGAUGAAGUUUGUGUCCUCUACUGACAAUAGGUUCGAGUAGACGGAUAGUGCACUUAGGAAUCAGUAAGCCUCCAUUCAGAAUUUGGAGACUCAAAUAGGCCAGAUUUCUAGGAUGUUGGUUAAGAGGCAGCUAGGGACUCUGCCUAGCACUACAGAGUCCAACCCGAGGGAGCAUGUGAACGCAAUUAUGUUGCGGUCAGGUAAGUAUGUUCCUAGUCCUUUUUUUGUUUUUAACAAUGAUGUUGAUGGGCAGGUAGAUUCAAGCAGGGAAGUUGAAGCUACCAAGGAGAAAGAACUAGAGAAGAAAGAGGCAAAGGAGAUUCCAUUAAGGGAAUACCAGCCCAAAAUUCCAUACCCUGCUAGAUUAAAGAAGGCGUAAGUCGAGCAGCAGUUUGGUAAAUUUCUGGAUAUUUUUAAACAACUGCAUAUGAACUUGUCUUUUAUUAAAGUUAUUUCGCAUAUGCCUAGGUAUGCGAAGUUCUUCAAGGAGAUUCUUAGCAACGAAAGGAAGUUUGAGGACUUGGCGUGCGUGACGCUAAAUAAGGAAUGUUCGGUAAUUUUCUAAAAUAAGUUACCGGAAAAGCGACAUGAUACAAGGAGUUUUACUAUUCCUUGUUAUAGGUAACUUAUAUAUUAAUUAUCCUUUAGCUGAUUUAGGGGCUAGCAUUAAUAUAAUGUGAUGUGCGUAAAAUACACACAUCUAAAUGGGGUUUUUAAGAUUGAUUUUAUGGAUAUUUGGAUAUGAAUUGGUACCAACACUCACCUUAUGCGUCUGUUUGUGUGCAUUAGGUCCAAAAGGAAUCAAAGGAUGAUAAAGGAAAGAAUUGGAGCAUAAUUGGACGUCAAAGCUACCGAAAUGAGCUAAGUAUGCCCAUGCAGAAGGUUAACACGGUCGUGUUGUAUUCAACAUUGGCCGUGUUGGAUGCGUCAAACAUGAAAAAAAAAGCUUUUAGGGAGCACGGCCACAGAGAGUAACACGGCCAGGAACACCAGCCCGUGUCCCCAACACGGCACAGAACACGGCCAUGUUGGCGGCGACAAGGGGAAUUAAUUAAAAGAACGAAGAGAGGAAAAAAAGAGGAGGCUAGGGUUAGAACGUCCCAAACACUAAUAUUUCUCUCUCUAAGGGUUUUCUGAGCUGAAACCAAGAGAAAAGGAGACUGGGAUCAAGGUUCAAUCGGAUUUCCUUCGAAGAUUGAAGAUUGGGCAAGGUUCAUCGAUCGGUUUUCAAAUCGAGUAAGAGGAACAAGGAUUGAUUCAAGAUUGAGCAAGAGGAAUUAGGGCUGUUUACUCUCAUCCAAGGGUGUAAUCGGGUUUUCUCUACCUUUGCUCAUUGUUGUAAUUGAAUUCUUAUGUAUUUUGAUAAUAAACAUGAUUAGCUAGAUUGAUUAAAUCCAUUGGGAUUUCUUUACUAUGUUGGUUUAGUAUUAUAUUGUUGGAUUGUUUGGAUUUGUUUUGUAUUCUUCUUGCUUUCAGUAUUAAUAAGAUAAUCAUUAUUCAUGAGACGUUGUGAAUUAUGUGUUUAGAUUGCUUUGUGUGAUUGAGAAGUCCAUUUGGCAUUUGGAAUUUUGAAUAGCAAGAACUGGUUAAUAAUCGCUUAGAGAUAAGGAUAAUUAACUAGCCGGAUUAAGAAUUAACAAAGCUUAAUAGAGGCGGAUUAAAGCUUAAUGCUAAUUUAAGAAUCAAUCGUUAGGAAGAGAUUCCAACUUUAGGUUAUUAGAUUUAGGAAUUCGGUUAUCUCGAGAGAGAAACCGGAUUCGGUUAAGAAUUCGUCCACAAGUAGCAUAAUUAGAUUCAACAAUCCUUUAUCUUUUGUUUGAUUGCCAACUAGUUUAGGUUCCCUUUGGAUUUUCUCUCUUGCCUUAGUUAUUUUAGUUGUCAAUUACUCUUGCAUCUCACUUAGAAUUUAGAUUGUAGCUAUUAGUUAGUUUAGAAAGUAUUCAUCACUCAUUUUAGGUUAAUAUAACAAAGAACAAAGGAGUAACUCUGGGCUUUCACUUUCCCGAGGAAUACGACCUUGAUACUCGCCAUUAGUGCUAGACUGCAUCGAUAGGUAUACUGCCUUAGAUUGUAGCUAACACGAGUAGCACCCAUCAGGUUUUUAGCACCGUUGCUGGGGAAAAUGUUUGAAAACUAGAGUGAAAUUUGCUAUUUGUUAAUUUAGCCAUUUUUUUGUCUUUUUUAUUAUUUUAUGAUUUUUAUUUUUAUUUGUUUAUUUAUUUUAUUUUAUUUGUACAUAUUUAUUUAGUUUAAGUUUAUGAUUCAGAUAGUGAAUGAUAAGGAGGUUCAAUGCUAAACUCAAACUCUUUGUAUGACGCAUUGGAAAAUGGGAUUAGGAACCAAGAGAGUUCUAAAAAUUGGGAUACCCGUGCAUCUUUAGAAGCUCGAGUGGAAUCGUUUUGCAGGGCUACCGAUCAACUCUCCACUCCUAUCCUUUCAUCUCAAGUUUUUUAUGAAUUUUGUUGUGGUUUACAUUUGAGUAAUUAUUAUCCAUUAUAUAGUGAUGUUGCUCAUUGUUCUUAUAACUCUGAACAGGUGAAUUAUACGGGAAGUUGGCCAAAUGACUCGUAUGGAAGCACCUACAAUCAAGAAUGGAGUAUUCAUUCACCUUUUGGAUGGAGCUUAGAUGGCCCAGAACCACCAGAAUCUCAGCAACCACAUCAGCAGCCUAAUCUUGCACCUUCAACUCAAGAUGAAGAGUUAGUGUCGGAGGAGCUGAUGACGAGGUUCAUUACAAGUCUUGAUGAUAAAUUCCAACAAACAGAGAGGAUAAUUGAAGAUCAACAAGCCUCGAUUAACAACAUAGAGCAUCAAGUAGGCUUAAUCUUCAAGUUACUAGCUGAAGAGCAAUUGGGAACUCCAUCAAACGCUACUGAAUCCGAGGAACAUUUGAGCGCCGUCACUUUGCGUUCAGGUGAGAAUUUUUCUGGUUUAUCUAUUAUGUUUGACAAUGAUGCUUAUGUGCAGGAUGACUCUUUGAACAUGGAGAUAGAACUAGAAAAGGAAGAGGCAAACAUGAUCCCUCUGAAAGACUACCAACAGGAAUACACAGUUGAUGAUGCUGAGUUGCAGUUAGAGGAAUUUUUGGUGGAUUUUCCACAAGUCCGUUCGAUGAUGGAAGAUGAGCAUGAGUUAUCUAAUGAAGAAGUCUUGGAGGAGCUCGAGUUUCUUCUAGCAAGUGAACCAAGACAAGGACUAGAGGAAACCAUUGACGUUCCUGAAGAAAUUGCCCAACCGUCAAUCCUUCCAAUUGGUGAAACUUCAGCUUUCAAAUUGGAAGAGCCCCUAGAGCAUCAUGACUACGUGCAAUUAUACGAGGAGCGAGUCUUGCCCAUCAUACUGGCAGCUUGCUUGAUAGUCGGGAAGAGGACAUUGAUGAUUAUCCCUCUAAGCGGAUACUUGAAGCCAUUUGCUUGGAAGAAGGAUGGAUGGUCGUUGAUCACGCCCAAUUGCUUUUCACCAUGAGUCCAGCUAAGAAGACUCAUCACAUCAAAAAGAAGCGCUUUUGGGAGGCACCCCAAAUUUUAUUUUAUUUCUUUUUCAUUUUUAAUUUAUUUUAUUUUAUUUUUUUUACCCUUUCCUUUUGAAACAUUUUAUUAGUUUUAGUUUUCAUAUUUUAUUUAAUUUUUAUUUCAGUUUCGAUUUUAAUUCCUUAUUUUAUUAUUUGCAGCCACUCCUCCACCACAGACCAGCCAGCGCCCUGAUAUACCUGCUGAUGCACCUCUUUUCACUCCGGAGCCAUAAUCAGGGCAGUAUUAGUUUCUUUUUUCCUUUUUCAUUUCAUAUAUUUUGUACACUGAGGACAGUGUGUCCUUUAAGUGUGGGGUGGGUGAUAUUUAUCCCAUCUUAGUUAUUUGUUUAUUCUUCGUGCAAUUUUUUGUAAAAUUUUGAAAAUUUUUCACUUUGUUUCAAUGCUCUUACUGUUGACUUGAUUUUGAAAUCCUGUUUAUGUCUAUGUGAUCGGGUAAAACCGAUAGUGUUGAGUUUUGCGGAAGAGUGUAAGAUAAUUAGUUUGAGUUUUGCACUAAGUUGCUUUGGUUUAUUUAAUUCUGUUUUGAUAAUUUUUGUUUGGAACCUACUCAAAAGCACACUUGUGAGAAAUUGAGCCUAAAUUGCAAGCAUACACUUUAUAUGCUUGUAUUUAUUUCUUGUUGAGAGUGCCAAUUACUAUCUUUACUUUUAGAACUUGCUCGGUAAUGCUUAUGAGGGCCACAAGGAGAGUUUAACACUUUGGUAUGAUAGAGGCACUUAGGUUUUUCAUUUUAGCCAAAUAGCCUUCAUUCGUUUAUUGAUUCUGUAGAUAACCCCUUCUUUCACCAUUUUUUUUUAUCAUAUUCCAUUACCACUUAGUUUUAUUCUGCUUUGGGUUAUGAUUUUGCACAUGAGUUAUUUUUAUUGGGAAUUUAUCUUGGGAAUAGCUUUGGAAUCUUGUAGCAGCUUACUUCAAUCCAAAAAGAAAUUCACUCUAUUAUGUGAAUGUUCUUCCCUUAUGAAAAAAAAAGAAAAAAAAAAGAAAGAAGAAAAAUAUAUAAAAAGAAGAAUAAGAGGGAAAGGUGAUGAAAAGAAAGAAAGUAAGUGAGCCAAACAUUUUGACUUGAUUCCUAUUUCCCACCUUAGACUAUUGUCCAUUGUUUACCCCUUGUGAUCAUUGUGACUUGUGUGCAUGUCAUGUAUUUCAUUGCAGAACACCAUAGGUUCAACUCUUACCAAAUUUACCUACCCCUACCUGAUCCCCAUUACAACCCUUAUAAAGACCUCUUGACAUGGUUGUUGACUCUCCAUAAGUGGUAGGAGUAGGAUUUAAGAGCAAGCAUAUAGUAAGUAAGGCAGUAGUUGAUGCAUUGAGCGAUUAAACACUACCCUUUAAACACUUUGAGUGAUUUAGAGUGAAUCUGGUGAGGAGUUGGUUCUGAAUAAUUUUGUUGAGACAGUAUUUUGUGAAUUAUUGGCAUCUUGGUUUUGAUACUUGAAUUGAUUGCUUCGUUUCUUUUUGUUUGACUUACGCUUGUUAAGGAUAUGUGUAGGAGCUCUCUAGCUUGUCUAUCAGUUUAAGUACUGUUUCUUAGUGGUUUAUUUUCCUUAUUUUACUUUUGAUUGCUUGAGGAAAAGCAAUGAGCUAAGUGUGGGGUUAUUUGAUGUGCGUAAAAUACACACAUCUAAAUGGGGUUUUUAAGAUCGAUUUUAUGGAUAUUUGGAUAUGAAUUGGUACCAACACUCACCUUAUGUGUCUGUUUGUGUGCAUUAGGUCCAAAAGGAGUCAAAGGAUGAUAAAGGAAAGAAUUGGAGCAUAAUUGGACGUCAAAGCUACCGAAAUGAGCUAAGUAUGCCCAUGCAGAAGGUUAACACGGCCGUGUUGUAUUCAACACUAGCCGUGUUACCAACACGGCCACCAACACGGCCGUGUUGGAUGCGUCAAACAUGAAAAAAAAAGCUUUUAGGGAGCACGGCCACAGAGAGUAACACGGCCAGGAACACCAGCCCGUGUCCCCAACACGGCACAGAACACGGCCCUGUUGGCGGCGACAAGGGGAAUUAAUUAAACUAACGAAGAGAGGAAAAAAAGAGGAGGCUAGGGUUAGAACGUCCCAAACCCUAAUAUUUCUCUCUCUAAGGGUUUUCUGAGCUAAAACCAAGAGAAAAGGAGACUUGGAUCAAGGUUUCAAUCGGAUUUCCUUCGAAGAUUGAAGAUUGGGCAAGGUUCGUCGAUUGGUUUUCAAAUCGAGUAAGAAGAACAAGGAUCGAUUCAAGAUUGAGCAAGAGGAAUUGGGGCUGUUUACUCUCAUCCAAGGGUGUAAUCGGGUUUUCUCUACCUUUGCUCAUUGUUGUAAUUGAAUUCUUGUGUAUUUUGAUAAUAAACAUGAUUAACUAGAUUGAUUAAAUCCAUUGGGAUUUCUUUACUAUGUUGGUUUAGUAUUAUAUUGUUGGAUUGUUUGGAUUUGUUUUGUAUUCUUCUUGCUUUCAGUAUUAAUAAGAUAAUCAUUAUUCAUGAGACGUUGUGAAUUGUGUGUUUAGAUUGCUUUGUGUGAUUGAGAAGUCCAUUUGGCAUUUGGAAUUUUGAAUAGCAAGAACUGGUUAAUAAUCGCUUAGAGAUAAGGAUAAUUAACUAGCCGGAUUAAGAAUUAACAAAGCUUAAUAGAGGCGGAUUAAAGCUUAAUGAUAAUUUAAGAAUCAAUCGUUAGGAAGAGAUUCCAACUUUAGGUUAUUAGAUUUAGGAAUUCGGUUAUCUCGAGAGAGAAACCGGAUUCGGUUAAGAAUUCGUCCACAAGUAGCAUAAUUAGAUUCAACAAUCCUUUAUCUUUUGUUUGAUUGCCAACUAGUUUAGGUUCCCUUUGGAUUUUCUCUCUUGCCUUAGUUAUUUUAGUUGUCAAUUACUCUUGCAUCUCGCUUAGAAUUUAGAUUGUAGCUAUUAGUUAGUUUAGAAAGUAUUCAUCACUCAUUUUAGGUUAAUAUAACAAAGAACAAAGGAGUAACUCUAGGCUUUCACUUUCCCGAGGAAUACUACCUUGAUACUCGCCAUUAGUGCUAGACUGCAUCGAUAGGUAUACUGCCUUAGAUUGUAGCUAAUACGAGUAGCACCCAUCAGGUUUUUAGCACCGUUGCUGGGGAAAAUGUUUGAAAACUAGAGUGAAAUUUGCUAUUUGUUAAUUUAGCCAUUUUUUUUUCUUUUUUAUUAUUUUAUGAUUUUUAUUUUUAUUUGUUUAUUUAUUUUAUUUUAUUUGUACAUAUUUAUUUAGUUUAAGUUUAUGAUUCAAAUAGUGAAUGAUAAGGAGGUUCAAUGCUAAACUCAAACUCUUUGUAUGACGCAUUGGAAAAUGGGAUUAGGAACCAAGAGAGUUCUAAAAAUUGGGAUACCCGUGCAUCUUUAGAAGCUCGAGUGGAAUCGUUUACAAGUCACUUUGCCAAAGGGAGAUGAGCAUGAGCUGUCAAUUGAGGAAGUGUUGGAGCAGCUUGAGUUUCUGUUAGCAAACGAGCCAAGCAACAAUACUGAUGAGUUUGCUGUGAUUGACAGGAUAGAUGUGCAGAAGUUGAGGCCAUCACUUGAGAAACCGCUGGUUCUUGAUUUAAAAGAGCUUCCACAACGUCUUGACUAUGCGCAUAUGGAUGAGGAUAACGGGCUGCCUGUAAUUCCAACAGCAGACUUGACACUCGAGGUGAGGGAAAUUUCAUUGCCCUCUCAAAGGAAGUACCUAAAAGGGGUUGCUUAGAGGAUUGCUAACAUUCUAAGGAUCCAUAACUUGGCAGUUCAAUCGCAGGAUAUGUCAAACCCGCACAUGUAGAGAGUUAUCACCGAGUUUAGCUAAAUGACUCGAGAAACAAAAAGAAGCACUUUUGGGAGGCACCCCAACUUUUAUUUAGUUUUGGAACAUUUUUUAUUCAUUUUAGUUUUCAUAUUUUAUUUAAUUUUUAUUUUCAGUUUCUAUUAUUUCUUUGUUUUUCAUUUUCAGCUCGUGCCAAGGACCCACCAAAUUUUCACUCCACUAGCCUUAGCGGAUGAUCAGCCAGUCCCUCUUGAUUUUCUUUUUAUUUUCUGCAUGAUUUACUUUAUUUCUCAUACAUGUCAUGUACCUAGAUAUAAUUGAUUUUGCUUUCUUUAUUUGUACAUCCCAUGCAGGGUACCCACUUUGUUUUACAUUGAGGAUAAUGUGUUCUUCAAGUGUGGUGUGGGUAAACCGUAUGUUCUCUUCUCUUUCCUAUGACUUUUAGAUGUGUCUAAAAUUGCUAUCACUAGUGUUGUAUAUUAUUAGGAUGUUAGGACCUAUGUUCUUCAUCCGCUUAAACUUAGUUUGUUCUUUUGUAAUUAAUGAUUUAAUUCACAUACUUGUAAUUGAUUGUCCCUCUCGAUUUUUAUUCUUGGAAAGCAAUUUCAUUGUGUUCAAUAUGUCACUUUGGCCGGGUUAAACCGGUGUUGCUUUAGUUCUUUGCAAAUUUUCAGCCUUUAUCUUUGAACUUUGAUUAUGCUAAUCUCUUAUACCAUUUAUGUGAUGAUUCAAUUUAUAAGUUUGGGAACCAAUUACAGAUUUUAGCCACUUCAAAUGUAAGUUUUUUUUAAUCAAAAUUUAAGCAUCCAUUGCAAUUAUGCUCAUGAUCUUUCUUGUUUGAGUGUGCGUUGUACUUAAUUUUGUUUCUAGAACUUGCUCUGUAAUGCUUGUUGAGGUUACAUGAAUUUUUGAAUACCAUUAAAUGAUUUGGGUAACUUAGGAUUCACCAUAUUUGGCCAAAAGCCUACCCUUUGUUUCCAUUAAUCAAUCAGUUUUGAGCCUUAACAUUUUCUUCAUGAUUUACACCUAUACACUACAUUUAUACCAUUCUCUAUAUUUGUCUUUUCUUUCACCCUGUAUACUAAAUAAUUAUAUGAUAUGCUUCUUCUUUUAUGGAAUUAUAGUGCCUAAUUUUGUUAUAAAUUCACUUAGUCCUUUUAAUAAUUUUUUGAUGCUCCCUUCAAUCCAAAUUGUAUAACUAUUCUCUUUAUUUGUGUCAUUAACCAUGCAGCCCCUAUGUAAGCUGUUGUGGCAUAUAUAUAAAAAAAGAAAAAAAACAAAGAGAAAAAAUCUAAUUAAGUGUUUAUUGUGCUUCUUUCUUAGCUCUUUUCUCUUUUGGAUUCAAUUCUUUUAAGCAUCCUCUACUUCAAAUAAGGCUUAGUAAGUACUUUUGUUGAUUUGGCAUUCAGCUCCUGAAGCAUUCAUUCUAAAUAAAUUACAUGAUUUUUCAAUAUACUUUACACUUCUAUCCAAAUAUUCUUACCUUUACCUUAGCCACAUUUCGACCCUUGUAAAGACCCUUUGAUUUUGGUAUACAUUUAUUCGCAGUAGCGAAGAUGGGAUUUAUGAGCAAGCUUAUGGUAAACAGGUUUUGUGCAGCUGCAUUGAGGGAAUAUUUUUUGUUUACCUGUAAACACUGUGAGUAUUUGAAAGAUCCCUACGAGGCAAUGGUUCCUACUCUUUAAUGCUGAGUUGUUAUAUAAGUUGUACUUCGAGAUGGUAUUAUUAUUGUUCUUCUUUGAAGGUGUAUGAUUUGUUUAGCUACUUGAGUUUCAUUCUUUAUAUGUUAAAUAAGGUUAAGAUGUGAACCUUAGCAUGGAUUUUGAGGGGUGAUUGUUGCUUGUAUAUGUAUUGAGUUAUUGAUUGCUUGAGGACAAGCAAAAGCUUAAGUGUAGGGUGAUUUGAUAUGCAUUGUGUUACACAUGUUUAUAUGCCCAAUUACUUCCAUUUUUAUGCAUAGUUAUCUUAUUUUAUGCCAGAAUCACCUGUGUUUUAGUUCCUUUCAUGUUUCAGGCAGUAUUUGAGGGCAAUACAUGCGAAUACGGACCAAAAUCCAUCAAAAUUGAACAAAGGCUAGCAUUUCAAGGUUGAGUACGGCCUGGACUCUGGCCGUGCUGAACCAUCGACCUUUGACCCUCAAAUGUGGCCUUUCAGCACAGUUUUUAAGGCCACCACGGUCUCCAUCACGGCCCGCAGUGGCUCAGCAUCAGCGAGGGCACGGUUAGGGAGCAGAGGAUGAUUUCGGGACUCAGAGGUCCAGCAUGGCCUGUACUCCGCCCGUGCUGACCAGCACGGGCUUGACCACAGCCAUGCUGGGACAUUUAUAUAGGCAAAAUUGAUUUCUUUUGUGAGGGUUCGGCUUUCUGACUUUUGAUCUCAUAUACGCGUGCGAGCCACCUCAUUUUAAACUUCAACAUUCGACUUUAGGAGACCAUUUCGCAUAUUGAAAGACGGAUUUCAGUGGUUCAAGCAUCACAUUGAAGACCAAGAAUGGAUUUAGAGGCAUUCAAGAGGCAACUCGAAGUUCAUUAUUUAGAUUUGGAGAUUUAGGACUGUUCAUCUGACUUGAAGAAGAAGGGUGUACAUGUUUCCAAUUUUCUUUUCUGUAUUUAUUCCUUAUUUGGUGUUAUUCGUUAGCAUGAGUAGCUAGAGUUGUUGAACUCAUUGGGUUUCCUUUGUUUGUUGGAUUGCACUUAAUGUUUAUGAGAUUUUUAUUAUCAAUGCUUGUAUUCUUAUUGCUUUGAGUAUUAAUAAGAUAUCGCAUUAUUCAUGAGACGUUGUGCAUUAUGUUGUUCAGAUUGAUUUCUGUAAUUGAGAAAUUCAUUUAGUAGUUGGAAAUUUGAAUAGCAAGAACUAGUUAAUAAUCACUUAGAGAUAUGGGUAAUUAACUAGCCGGAUUAAGAAUUAACAACUCUUAAUAGCAGUGGAUUAAUCUUAAGGCUAAUCUAAAAUUGAUUGUUAGGAAGAGAUUUCAUCAUUUAGGUUCUUAGCUUUAGGAAUUCGGUGUUCUCGAGAAGGAACUCGAAUUCAAUUUAGAAUCCACUCACGGGUAAUCACAAUUGGUAAUCAAUCUAAUUUCUACCUUCACUAAAAUCCAACUAGCUUAGGUCCCCUUAGGUUUGCUUUCUUUUCUUGUUUGUUUCACUAAAUCUUUGCAGAUUGCUUGACAUUUAGCUAAUCAUUUAGCUUGCAUCUAGUCAUAGAAUAGUAACUUCAUCACUAUUGUUUAAGGUUAGAUAACAUAAGAUGCUGGAGUAGUUUUAGGCUCACCCUUUUCUGAGAAUAUGACCUUGAUACUCGCCAUUAGUGCUAGUCUGCAUCGAUAGGUUCAUUGCCUUAGAUUGUAGCUACAUAAAUAGCCCAUCAAGUUUUUAUUUUUUAGUCCAAAGGCAUAACCUUGUACUAGUAUAUUCCCCAUUUGGUGAUAAAUGAUGUCUUCAGCUUGUCCACACUACCAUCACGAUCUGAUUAUACCCGGAGAACCCUUCUAUAAAGGAAUACAUCGUAUUUGAGGCGACACUGUCGACUAUUACAUCUAUGUGAGGAAGAGGAAAGUCAUCCUUAGGGCAUGUUUUCUUCAAAUCCUGGUAAUCCACUCACAUCUGGACCUUACCAUCCUUCUUCAAGAUUGGAACAAUAUUUUCCAACCACUCGGGUAAGGUUUGUUGAUGGAGUCAUGGUCGGGCCUAGUACUGGUAGUCUUUAGCCUUGAGUUCUCAUCUAUCUAUCUCUAGAGGUCACCCCCUGCAAUUCAAUUGGGACAAGGGUCUCAGAGGUUAGUCAACCACGUCAAGGAAAUUGGCGUUUAUCUACUUAGCAACCUCUCCCUAUAUAUUUUUCUACCCAUUCUAGGCUUAAUAUUCUCAUCUUUUGUUUAACUGACAUCAUGUGUGGAUGAGUCGAAAUAUGGUGCUCUACUAUUUUUCUAUCUAAACCUGGCAUGUCAUCAUAUGACCAAGCAAAUACCCUUUUUUUUCUACUAUCCUUUCAAUUCUCUCCUCUCCUCAAGAGUUAUAUCGUGAGCUAUCAAAACAUUCUGUGGAUUUGUAUCUGUGCCUAAAUUAAAUGAAUCAAUUUGUAUGUAAUUGAUGUCAAACAGGCACAUGUCAUGAUUAUCAAAAUGCAAAUUACAAUAAGGGAAAACAUCGUACAAGUAAGCAAAAUCAUUCAUAUCAUUUUCAGCCAUCGGAGAAAUACUUUUCUAGCUUUAAACUUUUUUUCUUGUGACUUAUAUACUAGAUAUACAUGUUAUUUAUCUAAAAUAUGUGAAAAAAUGCAAAAAGACAUCAAAAGAUUGUGUGCCUAGCCUGUAGAGCCGAUCGGCUAUGUGCAAUGCCAUUCGACUGUGCACAUAGUCGAUAUCGGCACUGUACAGUGCCGAUUCAGCUCUACACAGUCCAAAUUGACCGUGCACAGGCCAAAAUAGGGUUUUCAAGGCAUUUUUGCAUAAAAUACUAAUAAAUAGACAUAUGCUUACCUAUUUAGGGUCUUUUUGUGCGUAAAUUGCAUUUAAUACUUGUGCAUCCGACUUUUUAGGGUGAUGUUGUAUCGAUUCGAUUUGCUGAAAACUUUUACAGGGCUCGUGAGUGAUUUGAUGAGCUCCCUAGCUCUGUCCAAGCUAGGAUUGGCGAUACCAGCUUCCAUCGGUUCGUGGCUAUACUUCCGUCAGUCACCGGGAGGACUGACCAUACCUCCGUCUAUGCCUUACUUGAGAGGUGGAUGGACACUACUUAUACCUUCCACACCCUGUUUGAUGAGCUAACACUCUCCCCUCUUUCCUUUUCCGCUAUCACAGGCAUCGAUUUCUCCGGCACACCCGUGCCCUUUGAUGACGCGAUCCACGAUCAGUGCUCUAUUACUUACUUGCUCGGGUUCUUGUCGGUGUUCAAGAACAUGCGUUGCAUCGCAUACCAGAGCAUACCCUUCCACUACCAAGGCUUUGUUCUUGAAAUGCUCAGAAAGUAUUUUAGAUGACCUGAGCCUUUAUAGUGUACCUCUUUAGUACGACUUUGUUCAGUGACUCAAGGAAUUCACUGAACUUCCACUAUCUAGCCCCGUUGCGUGAUUUGGAUCAGGUCUCCUCCUACAACUAGGGAACUAACGCUCUCACGUACUUGUAUCAUCAGAUGGACAUUACAGUCCAUGGCAGUAAGAGGAUCUAUAAUUUUUGGCACACGAUCCAUGUAAGUUAUGCUCUAACUUCUCUUUUCUAGUUUCUUUUAUUGGUACUGCGAAUGCUAACUCUUGUUUUACAGGUUUGGGCCCUAGAGACCGGCCUUCUAGUGGGUUCACAGGCCAUUUGCACUUCGUAAGCUUUCCCUCGCUUGAGUAGCUGGGGCUCGAGCAGGAGCGUCCCAUUGGAGUGGGCCUAGAUUCAUGUGCACCGCAUGUGGAUCAACACUACAACCUAAGAAAAGGCAAACAAAAUUUAUUAGUUGUACUCGUGAUUUACUUAUAUAGUUACUUACCUUUCUAGUUUACAGAUUCGAGGUGAUUGGCUGGGGGAGCACUAUCAGUGGGACCCCUACAUCCUUUCUGCAGCUAACCUCUAGCAGAGGAGGAUUUUGAUGGCGGGACCUACUUGUUGGGUGUGGUACUUAGGCGAGAGAUCUAACGGUGGGAGUGAGGCCCUAGUAGACGCUGAGUUCCCUUGUCUCCUACUCUCUAUAUGUUAUAGAUGGUGAACCUCGUUAGGGAGGAGUUAGCAGAGUGUUUAGUGGGGUACGACGAGCUUGAGGAUCUUACCAUUCAAUUUCGGAGGACGUAUUACACUUCCUUCAUCCCUCAGUUGCUAGGGUUAUGCCUUUAGACGAUGAUGUCAUGGCUCAGGUAUCUUUCUUAGACUUCUUGAAAUUCCUGAUUUCUUUAAAUUCUUUUUUUUCUAAACAUUUUAUUUGUAGUUCCUCCACCAGGCCCCCGCUGGUCGUGAACUGAUUGAGGGGCGAUCCAUCUGACGUUCUAGGCCUUCCCACAUUAUGGGCUCUUCUGCUGGUACAGCCUCCGAGGCACCUCCUACAACCGCGUCUAAUGUGGUUCCAAGGAAUGGUCUCAUACUAUAGUCCCUAGGGUGCGAUAGAGCACCGGCUUGCCAUGGAGCAUUGCCUCCCUCCGAAAUUCACUCCAAGCACUUGCACACAUGUAAGUAACAUUAUCCUUCAUGUUUGCAUGUCUCAUUUUCCUCAAAAAGUUAGUGACAUAUUAUGCAAAUAACCAUACAAGUUCAGAGAGACCAAUUCGAGUACAUCCAUCGAUUGGUCGGUGCCAUGAUGAGGUAGUUCUUCGUCCUUGGCGAGGACUGGAGGGUAAGAAAAUGAUUAUAAAAUGUAAGAUGUAUGCAUGUAUGUAUGAAAUACACUAACUAAUUUCCUUUUGGGUUUUCAUUAGAGGGACCAUAAGGGCUUGCAGUGAUAAGUAGACGACCGGCAUCGUCAGAUUGAUGCUCAGCAAUGUCGGAUCGACACUAUGUUGCUUCAGCUAUCGAUCUAGCGGACCUAGAGGAUGGACACCGACUCAGAUGAUGGGAUAAGGAAUUUGGGAGAGAACUCCAAUUUUUUUAUCUUUGUUAUUGCUUGUACUUUCCUUUUCUUGCCAUUGCUCGUACUCUUUCGUCUUUUGUAGAACUUUUAACUUUUUGAGGGUAUAUAAAAUCCUUCAUUUUGGCCUUUAAAUCACUUUCAUUUUUCUUUAUUUCCCUUUAUUAUCGCAUCUACAUGAGCUUAUAUGCAACAAAAAUGAAAAUCCACACAAAAAGACUGACAAAAUUGGCCAAAAUUUACUCUGGGAGGCCACACACCCUACCGGCUGUGUGCUCAACCGAUCCGGCUCUAUGUAUAGCUGAUCGGAUGUGCACUAUGCCGAUUGGCUCUGUAGUUUGCAAAGUCUGAAUCGGACACUGAUUCAAGGCCUAUAUAUAUCCAUGCGCCUUCUCACUUCUUCAUAUGUGAUUUUACAUUCAUAAAGCCAAAAAUAUAUCUCAAAAGAGUGCCAAAACCUUGCACCUUGCAAACUCUCCUUAAAACCCUAACAUCUUUCUCCGACGUCAUUUUUGCCAAUUAGGGUUUUAGAUUUGAUUAAAAACAUGUUAUAGGGUUAAUAUUUAGGUCUUUUAUUAAUAUGAUUUAGUAAUUAAGCCAAAAUAAAACAUGAUUCCUUGUUUUGAUAAUCUUUUAUCAGUUCAUAAGAUUUUAGGUUUUUUAGCUUCUAUAACUUUUAUUUUAUUAUUUUUAUUUAUUUUAUCUCAUUCUAAUUAAUUUUUUAAUACCUGUGCAUGUGAAAAUCGACUCUGAAGUGUGAGAUUCAACUGGUGAACAAAGGAAAAUUGACAGGAAUAUGCCCUUGGACUCUAGAGCCGAUCGGCUCAAUAUAGAGCCAAUUGGUUCUAUAAUGAGUCGAUUGGCUCUUCAUGCAUAGCCGAUUGGCUAACAAAACUGGACCAUUUAUUUUUUGCAUUUUUGGCAUAUUUUAAUACAUUCUUAGCCUCUGUACAGUUUUAGGCCUGCGACAUGGGAAGGUCGAUACCGUCCUUUAGUCAGCUCGCGGAUAGUAGGGGACUGGGGAACAAGAUGUGAAUAGGUGAAUAAAAGAGUAGUACAUAGUAAAAAAGAGAAUUCCAAAUAACUUGAGAAAAUACCUGGACAACAGUGUCAUCCCUGAGAGGUAAAGUCCCCAGCAGUUAUGGGAUGAAUAAGGUAUAAUUAAUCAGCCGUGAAUGGAUGGUGAAGUCCUUAAGCUCGCCAUACCCGUUCAAGCACUCUGGCAGCUCCUCUCUAGCAAGAUUCGAUGUCCAAAAUAUAAAAGGGAGGAGGUAAUGGGACUCGGCGCCUGUUGGGACCGUGCUCCCAACUGUAGAUCCUCUUGCCUAGAUAUCGGGCCCAAUAGGCAAGCCCGGCUAACAGGAUCCUCCUCUGCUCGAGGUCAGUCGCUGACAGCAUAUAACGCUCCCACUAGUCGCAUUCCCCUAGCCAAUCACUCUGGAUCUGUAAACCAGAGAAGGUAACCGACUAUAUAAAUAAAACACAAAUAUAGCUAAUGAAUUGUGUUUACCAUGUCCCAAGUUAGGCUGUAGAUCCAUGCAUGGUGCAUGUGAACCUGUGAUCACUCUUAGGCUACUGUCCUGCUUGAGCCCUAACGGCUCAAACAAGGAAAAGCUUGCAAGGUAUAGAUGGGCUGUGAGCCCACCAGGAAGCCGAUCUCCAAGGCCCAAACCUGCAAAAAAUAAGGAGUUAGCACACGCAAUGUUUAUAUAAAAGGAAUUAAAAGAAAGAAGUCAGGACAACUCAUAUGGAUUGCGUGCUAGAAACCACAAAUCCUCUUACCAUCAUAAAUGGUGACAUCAUCUGAUGGUAAAGGUAGGCGAGGGCCUUAGACCCCCAGUCAUAAGAUGAAACCUGGUCUAGGUCUCACAGAGCUACUAGAUAGUGAAAAUUCAAUGAGGUCCUAGAAUAAUUGAAUAGAGUAGUACCAAAAAGGUACACCAAGAACGCUUGGGCCCUUUGGUCAACCUCCCGAGCAUUAUAAGGAAUGAAGCCCUGGUAGUGGAGAAGGAUGCACUGGUAAGCAAUGCAUCUCGCAUUCUUGAGCGUCAGUGAAAAAUCUAGUAGGUCAACUAUGAAGCGCUGUCAAGCCUCGGGACGCCGAUAAUGGAUCGCAUCAUCAAAAGGCAUGAGCGUGCUGGAGAAAUUGAUGCUACUGAUAGCAGAAAAUGCAAUGGGAGAAAGAGUUAGCUCACCAAUAGGAGUAUGGAACAUUUGUGUCGUAUCCAUCCAUCUCUCUAACAAAGCAUAAACUAAAGAGUGAUCAACUCUCCCAAUAACCGAAGGAAGUGCGGCCACGAACUGACAAAGGCCAGUGUCCCCAAUCCUUGCCUAAACCAAGCUAGGUAGCUCGUCAAACCACUCACGUGCACCAUAGAAGUUUUCGGCGUACCGGAUUGGUAUUGUAUUGCCCUAAAAAGUAAAAAUAGGUAUUUAAGUAUCACAUGCAUACAAAACACUCUAAGGAGGUAAGUAUGUAUCUAUCCGGUAUUAUUUUCAUGAAAAGCCCCUAGAACACCUUUGUCCGGCAUAUAUACAGCUGUUUGUACUGUGUAGAGUCAAUACAUAGUACCAAUCAGUACUACAUAGUAUCGAUCGGCUGUAUGCACAGCCGAUUCGGCUAUACAUACAACUGAUCGGCUAUAUAGGUUAGGGUUAUGAGAUUUCUUUAGUUCUUUCACAGAUUUGCACAUAUUUUGAGUGAUUAACAUGCAUACUAAGUUUCUAAGUCAUAAAAAACAAGUUCAGGUCAAGAAAUUACCUCUCUAACAGCUCGGAAGGUGCGAUGUAUGCUCAAUUUUGCUAGAAGAAGAAUCUCCUCUCCUUUCACAAGCCCAAUGUCAUUUUAGUGAAAAAUUGGAGUAGUGAGCUCCCAAUUUGGUGCAACUUGGGUCCGUCCAAUAGGUCUAGAUGAUGAACUUGCCAUUUGAAGACUGAUUUUUUGCAAAUCGAUUGAGAAUUAAGUAAGAAAUCAAAGAAAGAGCAAAAAAGGAUUUAGAGAGAAAACUAAGGAAAUGAAUAAGGUGGAGAAAGAAGAAUGGAUAAGCCUAUAUAUGUCCUAAGGAGGGGCAAAAAUGUUAUUUAGGUCCCUGACCUAUCAAAAUUAAAUUUUAGUCCAAAACGUUGGUACAAGUCUACAAAAUACACAUAAAAGCACAUCGACACCCUGAAAGGGAAAUUGUUGAGAAAAUUACAAGUUUGGUCCCUGAACCGAUAAAAUUAAAAUUUAGUCCCUAGACAGGCCAAAUAUUAGUAUAGCUCUUGAAAAGCAUCAGAGCAAUUCAAAUUGUGCCUCGAGGUGGGAAAUUUCAACCUAGGUACUUGAAAAGUGGAAAAUUACCAAAUCAACCCGAAGCGGCGAAUUUGUUUCCUAAGAAUGGAAAGUAGCUAGAGGAAAGUCUCUGCAAUCACCAAUUCAACGAGCGUAGCUCCCAAUUCCAAUGGGCGUAGUUUCCUAAAAUGCAGGCGAAGUCCUCAAACCCAAGCAAUCGAAGUCCUCAAUUCCAAGCAGGUGAAGUUUCUCAAAUUGAAGCAGGCAAAGUCCUCAAACCCUCAGUGAAAUUGGCAAUUCCCAAUGGAGCGAAGUCCUAAGCAAGCGAAGUCUUAACUCAACUGGGCGUGGCCCCAUAUUAAAUCAACAAUCAAAGUUCAAGCUUAUGAAGUAUGGCUUCUACAUCUCACAUAUCCUUUAGUUGUAUCCUUGAUAUCUUUGAUUUGUCUUCAUUUAUUUAACGCAUUUACAUGCUCAUAAAUUUUGAUGAAUCGAGGGCAGCUGUCAGCACACCUUUUCCAGAUACAUAAAUCGAGGGAAAAAAAAGCGGAAAACCCUAUUGAGAGUUAUUGCUUUCUCGAUUCUCGAAAGGCGAAGAAUAUGCAAAUCCAAGGCUAGGCUCGAGGUUAAUCCAGUUGGAAUUAUCUUUUUGUAAUCAAUUUGGACCUAAUUAUUAAAAGAUGACAAUCUUUACAAAAUCAAGGACUAAACUGCAAUUUUUAAAACUUCCUCUAUAGAGCCAAUCGGUUCUUUAUAGGACUGAUUGGAUUUUUGACUCUCCAAUGUCAUUUUUUCGAACGAUUUUACGUCUAGAUACAGAUUCUAGAAGGUCUCAUUGACGAUAAUCAUUGUUUUAUCUAUAAUUAUUCAAAUUUUAAAUAAAUAAAUGGAAUAUUUAUCGAUAUUACCUAGGAUUUUCCCUUUCUCUAGAGUUUCCUUUGAAACUCUACCUCUAUAAAUAAUAAGAGGUGUUUAGGAUUUUAGGAGGAUGAGGCAAGAAUUAAGAUUCGAUCGUGAGUAAAAUUAAGAGAUAAGAAACACUAAGAGAGAAAGAAAAGAGAGAUAAUCAAAAGAAAAUAGAAAGAAUUGCACUGACGAUUGUAAUUAGUAUUCAAGGACUCAAGCCACUUAAGAAAGAGAGAUUUUAGGAAACAAGCCACUUAAGAAAUAGCACUUUUGGAAACCUUAUUUUUUCAAUCGACAGAAGAUUUCCUAAAGUCAGAACCAGCUCUGCAUUCCUACCCAGUUUUUUAUUGAACUGCUUCCUUAUUGCCCGAGACUUCACAGAUCCAACAUACACGAUGACAACCUGAGGGUUUCUACCACCAUACAUCUGCAUUCAUCAUAAAACUGGUUCUUUUAUUCCUUUUUAUCUUUUAUUUGCUUUUUUAUAUUAUUUAUUCUUAGAAGCAUGAUUAGGGUUUCUAUCUUUGAUAAAUAUGAUUAGAUUAUAUUUUCAUUAAUAUGCAUAACAAUAGGAUUUUGAAUCUGAUAUUAAGAACUAGGUUUUUCACAUCUGAUAUUUUUGCCAAUUAGGGUUUUAGAUUUGAUUAAAAACAUGUUAUAGGGUUAAUAUUUAGGUCUUUUGUUAAUAUGAUUUAGUAAUUAAGCCUAAAUAAAACAUGAUUCUUUGCUUUGAUAAUCUUCUGUCAAUUUAUAAGAUUUUAGGAUUUCUUAGUGAUUUAGGUUUUUUAGCUUCUGUAACUUUUAUUUUGUUAUUUUUAUUUAUUUGAUCUCAUUCUAAUUAAUUUUUUAACACCUGUGCAUGUGGAAUCGGCUCUGGAGUGUGAGAUUGAUCUCAUUAAUAAAGAAAAAUCGACAGAACUCUACCCUUGGACCCCAGAGCCGAUCAGUUGUUCAUACAUAACCAAUCGGCUGACCAAGCUAGACCAUAUAUCUUUUGUAUUUUUAGCGUAUUUCAAUAUAUUCUCGGCCUAUGUACAGUUUUAGGCCUUUCUGGUUUUGCAAUCAUAAUUGUAGGCGAGUUGUAAUAGCUAGGGUUUUCUUUUCUGCUUUGUUUUCUUUAUUUGUUUUGUUGUUUAUUGUAUGUCAACCCAAUACAUGAUUAUAUGAUUGAUUAAUUAAAAUGGGUCACAAAGACUUAGGGCUAAAAACUGAUCUAACAAGAAUUUGAUAGUCUAAUCGGUUAAUCCACCUUAACUAGCCAUAAAAACCUAAAAUUCAAUUAGGCUAGCAGGCUUUGGCAUGAUUAGUUAGGGUUUGAACUUAGUUAGGGUUGAGAUCACAAUAAAUGGGCCUUCUUAUAAUAAGUAGUUGAAUAGGCUUAAAGGUUAAAGAGCAUAAUAUGUAACUAGACUAGAAUAGGUGGGCCUCAUACAUAAUUGGUAAGUUAGAUUAAUAACUUAAAAUGAGGGCUAAGCUUGAACAAAAUGGGUUAGACUUAGGUGUAUUGUGUGUUGUUUUCGUAUGCCUGGGUUAAAAUGCUUACAUUUAUAGAGAAUAUUUUUUAAAACAUUAAAUUUAAAGACUAAUAUAUACAGAUAAGGAAGUUAGCUUAUGAAUCCAUCUUUGGACUCUAUGGCUUAAGCUUCCUUAUGGAAUCAAAGAAAAGCCAUUCAUUAGUAAAAGUGUCCUGGUGAUUAUCCGGGUGGGGACUCCCAUCUCUGUGCUAGUCUUAUUAAUUAGUCAGCGUGUUCCCUAUUAGGUUGAAAAGCCUUACAGUGUUGUAGUCGCUAAAGACACUUGGGUGCGGGCUAGAAACUGCCGCCCAUACACACCUUUUUAGAUUUGGAUGUUAGCCUUUUGCCUUUAUGCCCUAUUUUUACUUAUUUCUCCUCAACGAGGGAGAGAUAUCAAAAUUGCUGGUAUUAUUAACCAGGUGGAGCAUGGAGCAAAUCCACUUCCAGUCAUCUUUGUUGAAAGCAUCAUUGGGUUAGACAUGUACAAGACCCAUCAAUGGUUUGGUGGCAGCCUCAUUCUCUUACAAGUACACAACCAAAUCUUCUUUCUUUUAUUAUUUUUAUUAUUCUUUCAUCAUUAAUUUUUUCCUAAGCCGUCCUUUCAGGUUUUUAACUUAGCAGGGGUGGUGGACUCUUCUAGCUUGUUAUAUCGUCCUCAUAAACUCUAGAUGUUAUUACAUUACCAUAAAAAAUAUGAACAAUAUUUUCUUUUAUAAGAGUAGCUAGCUCCUCUCGACUCAUUUUAUCUGGCGAGGUGCUGGACUCUUCUAGCUUCAGCUCCUCUAUCUUGGUGGUGACCUUCUCUAGGAAUUUCUUGAUACUCAUCUAGACCAUUCUGUCGAUGAUCAUAUUCUUGAAGAUCUCAAACCCUGGUACCUCAGUCCUAGCUACAGUAAUAGGUUCGGGCUCCCUAGAGUAGGGCUUGUACUCCUGAACGAAUACGUCUUUUAGAGCCUCCUUUGGUUUACCCUCAUCUUCCUCGUCAGAGUAAUCCAAUCCAUGCCGAGUCUUCUGACCUUUAAAAUUCGGCAGUUUCGCAAUACCUUGCUGAUCCUUUUCCAGCCCCAUUCCAAGCAUAAAGUUCAUUUUCUUGAACAUGCUUGCUACUUUAGGAUCCAUGUAGUCCUCAUAGAGAAUAACAACUUGGAAUCCAAUAAGGGCAUCCAACUCUUUGACAGCUUCUUCGAUAGGCGAGACAACCUUACUACCUUCGGUAUUAAUAGUGACAAUCUCGCCUUCAUGAGGUAACUUUUCCUUCUUAUGCACAAAGGAAGGAUGUCAUAACCGAAUUUUUUUUAAUUAAUAAUUAAUAUUCAUUAGCAUGUCAUUAAACAUGUCAUUUGCAUCAUAAUUAUGUAUGACCUAUUUUAUUAUAUUAUGUGGUAGAUAAAUCAAUUAUUUAGUUACAUUUUGAUUUAAUUGAAAAGUAAUGAUUUAGGACUAAAUUGGAAAGUUAGAAAGAAAGAGGAUUAAAUUGUAAAAUUUCUUAUUUUUACACUGAUUUACCACCUCUUCAUUUCUUCAUUUCUACAUAUACUUCCCAUAGCCUCUUCUUCUUUGUCACUAUUAAUAUCCAUAAAAUAUGAUGUUUUAUGGAUAUUAAAGAUAUGUAUAUUUAUACCUUGUGAUUGAAUUGUAUUUGUAUUGAAUAUGUGAAUAGGUUCGUCCAAAGGUAAGGAAGUGGUAAGAGAAAAAGAAUAAGAUUACUUUAUUAUCCUAUAAAUUUUGGUAAGUAUUUAAUAGACUAAACUUUGUGUAUACUGAAUAGGGACUGCUAUGUUUGAUUACUUGAUAAUCUCUUGGUUGACUGAGUUGGUAUUGAUUAUGUUCUUGGCAUGUUGUGAAGUGAAUUGAUUGUGAUUAAGGAUUGAUGACUCUUGAAUUGAUAUUGUGUGAUCGAGAAAGCUGAGCCGGGCGGAUAGCUACCCGAGUAUGUGAGGUGGCAAGACUGAGCCGGAUGGAUAGUCUUGUUAAAUGGUCACUGAAAUGUGAAAAAUGUGAGGAAAUGUGAGGAUGAGUCAUCUGAUCCUAAUUUGAUGGAAAUAUGUAGAAUUGAAUUAUUGACUUGGUUGAGUUUGAGAUUAUUUGCAUUAUGUGAGAUGAAAUUAUUUGUUUAUGAGAAUAAUUGAAAUGGUUGAUUUUGUGAUUGUCAUUUAAGUGUUGGUAUAAUUUUCUGUAUUUGAUAAAGACUUGAUAAUUCUUGCCUAAUAUACUAUAGUUUAGUAAAUUAAAUGCUUAUUGAGUCGCCAGCUCAUUUCUUAGCAAAUAUUUUCCAGUUUAGUGCAGCUGUAUAUAGCCUUAGCUGUGCAUUGCUCUCUUUGCAUCAGUCAAAAUUAUCAGGUGGGCCAGAGGAGUUAUCUCAAGCAUUAGAACAUUUUGGGUACUUGUGUGAAUUAAACUAAUGUAUAAAUAUUUCUUAUGUAUAUUAAGUAUGUUAUGCCAUUUAAAAUGUAUGAAUGUAUAUUGUAACUAAGUAAUAAAUUAUGUCUAUAAAGUUAAUUGUAUAUAUUGCUACACAAUUGGAUGUUUUGAGUUUGAGUGUUACAAAGGAACUUCUCCUAGGGUAUAGAACCAUGACCUUCCUAAUAACAAUGCAAAAGUUACUAAGAUGUCCAGGACAGUGAACUUCACUCAGGAUCUGAUAGGACCCAUCUUUACCAGUUUUGAGAAUGUUCCUUCCACAUCUCUGUUCAUCUCAUCGUAGGCCCUUAUAACCAUAUCUGAUGGUUUUAGGUCUUUCGCAGUCAUCCCCAGCUUAGAGAGCAUGCAAGAAGGACACACAUUGAUGGCUAACCCAUCAUCCACCAUCACACAUAGGGUUCUCUUCCCUUUGACCUUUGCUACUAUGUAGAGGGCCUUGUUAUGGUCUCUUUCCUCAAGUGGUAGGUUUUCAUUUGAGAAAGUGAUAAUCCCGAUAGUCAUGUCAUUUACUGUUUUAAUCAUUUCCUCGAGAGUAAUUGUUGUGCUAAUGCUUAACUAGACAAGGCCUGAAUUAAAGUCUUUAUGUAGUCCGAUGAGUGCAUCAGUAGCUCCCAAACAUCGUUAUCUUCUUCUAUUUCUUCCACUGCUCUAAUAAUAUAGUAUCCCCAUUUUCAAGGGCUUGUUUAUCUUGCUUCAGCUCUUUUACUAUGACUUCCUUACCUUUACCCACUAGCUCAGUUUCCCUAUCAGAGUCGUUAUCUGCCUAAGUGUCCUUGGCCUUGGUGUCUUUGACUUUAGACUCACCCCUAGAGCUAUACCAAAUGUCGAUAGCCAUGACCGACUUCUUUUCCCUUUCUUUUCAAACCUCUAGAAGAUAAAGCUCACAACCUGCUUGAUCAUUGUCUGAUCCCCAACCACUUGGCAUAAUAUCCUCAAUUUAAAUGUCGGUCGAAUGAGGCCUCAAAUAUCAUACCUUGAAGUCGAAUUUGCAUGAAGGCUGCCCUAGCAGGUCUUCGCACUCAUACCGAGAGAGUUGCUUAGUUCUCCAUUCCCCAAUCAAUCACAUCUUAAAUCUCGUGCUUGAGACGGGUGCACUGGUCUGUCACAUGCUCAAAAUCUUAGUGAUACUUACACUACUAGCAAUUGUGAGGUUUAGGACUGUCCUUUGGCAGUUAGGACUUAAGUCUUUUGGUCCAUUUCAAAUGUUGGAAUACCACAGAUAGUGGCACUCCCAGCUCAGUGAAGGUUCUUUGUUUGUGGCUUGGUUCUGGUUGUGGUAUUGUCAGCACCCAUUUUCCUAAUCUAGAUAUUGAGGAAAUUACAGAAAAUCCUAUGAUGAAAGUUAUUUCCUUCUCGGAUCUCGAGAGAUAAAGGAUAAGUGAAUUCGAGGUUAGGAUUGAGGUUAAUCUAACUAAAAUUAUCUUUUUAAAAUCAACUUGUAGUUAAUUAUCAAGAAAAAUAAAGUUUGAGGGUUAAAAUGAUAAAUUUCACAAAGUUCAGGGACUUAAUUGCAAACUUUUAUACAACUUUUCAUGUAUAGAGCCAAUCGGCUUUGCAUAGAGCUGAUUGCCUCAUCAUAGAGCCAAUCAACUUUGUGUAGAGCCGACCAGCUCUACACAGUACUGAUUAGGGUUUUCUCUUUUGACAUUGUUUUUUCUUUAUGCUUUUACGUCCAGAUACAGAUUCUACAAGAGAUUUGAUAUAUAUCGAUUCUUUUUUCUUUUUUGAAAAUUUGAAGAUUAUCUGUUCCUCUAAGGUUUCCUUAGAAACCCUACCUCUAUAAAUAGAAAAAUCCUAGGGUUGAGGGAAGAGGAGAGAAUAUUAAUAUCGAUUUGAGAAAACAAAAAAAAAUUACAUUCAUUACUAGGCAGAAGGGUUUUGGUCACUAAAAAAGAAGGCCAUUAAAGAAAGAAUUGAUUUUUGGAAACCCUUUUUUGAAGUCGACAGAAGCUUUCCCAAUACCACAUUCAGCAUUGGAUCCUCAACCAACCUUUGAUUCAACUGCUUCUUCAUCUAUUGAGACUAGCAAAACCCUACAGUGACAACUUGACGGUUCCUCUAACAUGUAUGUAUCCUUGUAUAUGUAUCACUAACCUGUAACAGAAAAAUAAAAAGGGUUCAAAAUGAAAUAAAGCGCUCGAACUACACUUCAGUUUACCUUCCGAAGUGGAAGAUGCAUCAGUUUACUUCUCGAACCAAAAGUUUAUCAGUUUACUUCGAAGCGGAGAUUAUCAAGAUUACUUUCUGAGUUGAAGAUCAUUAAUUUAUGUCCCAAAGUGGAAUAAUCAUCAUCUUAGAGUAGAAUACAAUCAGUGAAAGAUCAUCAAUUUACUUUCUGAACUGAAAGCUCACCGGCCUAUUUUCUAAAAGUAGAGAAUCAGUUUGAGUUUUGAAGAAUUAACACACAUUCCAAAGCAAAAGUUAUCCAAUAGAGUAAAGUACAUACCAAAUCACAACCUGAAGCGAAAAUUACAAUAUAAUUAUAUCCCAAAGUGCAAAGUAAUCAAAAAGCUAGAGGGAAGUCUUCGCAAGUACAAAUCAGAUAGAUGUGUCUCCUAAAUCAGACGGGCAUGGUUCCCAAAUCAGACAGGUGUAGUUUCCAAAUCAUUAGGCAUGGCUCUUAAAUUGGAUAGGCGUGGUUCCUAAAUCAAACGGGCAUGGUUCCCAAAUAAGAUGGCAUGGUUCCUAGAUCAUCGGGCGUGGUUCCAAAACCAUCAGGUGUGGUUCCCAAAUCGAUAAGCAUGGUCCACAAAUUGGCAGGCAAAGUCCUCGAAAAUUCAAGAAGGCAUAGUCCUCAAAACUCAAGCAAGCGUGGUCCCCAUAUCAAAUCAAUAAUCUCUAGUUCGAGCUUAUGGGGCAUGACUUCUACAGCUCAUCAGAAUAUCCUUUUACCGUUUAUGCUUUGUCUCGAUUUAUUUAAAGUUCAUUUGCAUAAAUCUCAACAAACUAGGGGUAGUUGUCAUCACCCACUUUUCGGAUCUAGAUAUCAAGAAAAUUAUGAAAAAACCCUAUGAUGAAAGUUACUGCCUUCUCGAGUCCUGAGAGACGAAGGAUAGGCGAAUCCGAAGUUAGGGUUGAGGCUAAUCUAAUCAAAAUUACCUUUUCAAAAUCAAUAUGGAGUUAAUUAUCAAGAACAAUAAAGUUUGAGGGUUAAAAUGAUGAAUUUCACAAAGUUGAAGGACUUAAUUACAAAUUGUUGCAAAACUUUCAAUGUAUAGAGCCAAUCGGCUCUACACAGAGUCGAUCAGCACUACACAGUACCGAUUAGGGUUUUCUCUUUCGACGUCAUUUUUUCUUUACGCUUUUACGUCCAAAUACAGAUUCUAGAAGGUAUUUGACGAUAAUCAUGGAUUUUUAAUGAUAUUUAUUCAAAUUUUAAAGAAUUAAUAUUGGAUAUUUAUCAAUUAUUUUUUUAGAAAUUUAAAGAUUAUAUAUUCCUCUAGGGUUUCCUUAGAAACCCUACCUCUAUAAAUAGAAAAAGAUCCUAAGGUUAAGGGAAGAGGAGAGAAUAUUAACAAAAGCUAAUAUCGAUUUGAGGAAAGAGAAAAAAAAUUACAUUCAUUAUCAGGCAGAAGGGUUUUGUCACUAAGAAAGAAGGCCACUAAAGAAAGAAUUGAUUUUUGGAAACCCUUUUUUAACGUCGACAGAAGCUUUUCCAAUACCACAUCCAGCACUAGAUUCUUAAAUAAUCUUUUAUUCAACUACUUCUUCAUAUCUUAAGACUAGUAGAAUCAUAAACUACGGUGACAACCUGAGGGUUCCUCCAACAUGCAUCCAUCAUCAUUAACGUCACUCUAAACUGGUUUUCUUAUUUUUUUUUUGUGUUUUUUUCUUAGAAACAUUAUUAGGGUUACAUUUUUAUUUUAUUUUUAUGAUUAAUAUGAUUAGAUUAGGGUUUCCCAUGAAUCUUCAUGUUACUGAUUUAUUAGAUUUUAGAAUCUGAUAAUAAGAACAUUAAGGUUUUGAAUCUGCCAGCAUUAGGGUUUUGAAUUGGAUUAAUCACAUGCAUAGGAUUAUAUGAUUAGAUUUCUAUUUUUCAUUAUGAUUUUGUUACUAAAUUAGCUUAUUAGGGUUAUAUGGUUAAUCCUUGUUGGGCUACUGAUGCAACCUACACCUAAGGCAGUGAACCUAUCAAUGUGGCCUAGCAUUAGUGAGUAUCAAGGUCGUGUCCCUGAAGAUCGGGUGAACCUAGAGUUACUAAUGUUCGCUAUGUUAUCUAGUCUGAAAUAGGGUGUGCGAAGUCUAAAUUAACUAACUAAUGACUAUGAAUGCAAAUAAAUAAAUGAACAUCAACUAACAAUCAAAAGACAACUGCAACAAGAGAAACAAACCCAAAUGGGACCUAAGUGAUGGAAUUCUAAGGUUGAUUUUAUAAAUUACCAAUCUUGCUUACCCGUGCCUAAAUCCUGAAUCGAACUCGGUUCCUUUCUCGAGCUCACCGAGUUCCUAAACCUGCACUAACCUAAUGGAAUCUCUUCCUAUCAAAUUAUUACUAAUUAGCAUUAAGCGUGAUUUAGAACUAUUAAGAGUUGUUAAUUCUUAAUCCGGUGAGUAAAUUAACCUUAUCUCCAAGUGUUAACUACCAGUUCUUACUAUUCAAAUUCUAGUUAUAACAAGCAUUUCUCAAUGUCAAGAAACAACCCAAAAGACAAUUAAUUCAACGUCUCAAAUUAACUGAAUCAAACUUUAUUACUAAAUAGCAAGGAGACUACAAGAAUGGUAAAUAAAAAUCUAAUAAACUAAGCACAAUCCAUCAACAAAGGUGAACCCUAAUGGGUUCGGUAGCCCUAGUUACUCAUAAUGAAAGAAACAAAUACAAAAGGAAAUAGACAACAGAAAAGGAAAUGGAACAUGUAACCCCUUUUCUCUCGAAUCGGAGUGGAAAUGUUGCAAGCACCAACUCUGAAACCAGCCUCAAGUAUGGAUCUCGAAUGUCUCGAUCAAUCGUCUAGAACCUUCAAUCUUUGCUUGAAUCUCUCAAAUCAAUCCUUUGAAAUGAUGUUGGUCUCCCAAAAUGUCAAGAACAGAGGUGUAGAAGUGGAGGGUCGCACGCGUAGAGAAGUCCAGAAGUCAGAAGCGGAACCCUGUCUCAUUUUUCAUGCGACUACUUAUAGGUAGAGCUGCCAUAGCCCGUUCCAGGGCCCAUGCCACGGCCCAUGCAACGGGCAUCAACAUCUAAAAAAAAUGCCAAUCUUCAAAAUUGUCCAAGGUAGGCCGUGCAACGGCCCGUGCAAAAGCCUCGAAAUGCGUGCCAAUAAGGAAUCGAAUAUGAUAAACAUCUAAUAUGCGUAAAUCAUCCAAAUAGCUUGGUUUUAGCCCGGGAAUCAAUUAAUUUUCCAUCAAGGAGUCUGAAAACCUGAAAAACUCAUAAACAUACCAAAGUGCGAUCAAACAGGAAUAAAUAUGAGUCAAAUACAUGAAUAAACUAAUGAUAAAUAGUCAAUAAACAUGCAUAGAAUCAUCUAUAUCAAUCUGCAAUUCUUAUUCAUUGUGUUUUCAAUUUUUAGGGNNNGCUAGGUUUUAUGACUGUGUUUGCAAUUUUAGUCAUAGGCUGGGUUGUAAUAGUUAGAUUUAUUUUUCUGCUCUUUUUUAUUUCUUGAUUUCAUGUAUGUUGAAUAAUUGUAACAUAACUGCCUAAUUAAAAAAUAGACAUAUAGAAUUUAGGUUAAAAUUGGACCCAACAUGAAAAAUGUAGUCCAUUACCAUGUCUUUAGUUAGGAUUAGGCUAUAUUAGAAUUAGGUUCACACAAAACGGGUCUUAUCAUAAUAAGUAGUCUGUUAGGCUUAAAGGUUGGAAGUUAAAGCAUAUCUUGUAAUUAGGCUAGACUAAGUGGACUUUAUACAUAAUUAAUUAGUAAGUUACGUUAAUAACUUGGAGUAUGGGCUAGACUUAGGUGGACUUCACAUGUUACAAUAGUUGAUAUGUAGAAAUAACUUGUUAAAUAAUAAAACUAAAGACAGAUAUACACAAAUAAGGAAGUUGGCUUUUGGAUCCAUCUCUAGAUUUGUGACAUAAGCUUCCUUAUGGAAUCGAGAAACGUCAAUCAUUAGUAAAAGUGUCUCGGUUACCGAGGUAGCGACUCCCAUCUUUGUGCUAGUCCAUGUGACUAGUUAGCGUGUUUUCGAUUAGGUUGAAAAGUCUUGCAGUGCCAUAAUCACUAAAGACACUUAGGUGCAUGCUCGAAACCGCCGCCCACAGGUAUGUCUUCAAAAGAGUUCAUGAUAUCCUCUUCGCUAAAGUCAGGGUUGAUCAUGGACACUUGGUUUAGGAGUAAUGUGUUGUUGUAGUUUGGUAAGGGAUUUCUUCUAGUGCUAGGUUGCUCAGUGUCGGUCAGUUUUUCGGCAUCGAUAAGGUCUUGAGUUUCAUGCUUCAAAAGGAUACAAUUAUCAGUAUGGUGGCCGGGUGCUUGGUAAAAUUUGUAGUAGGUGUUGGGUUUAUAACCGAGUGCAUUAAAGUUAGGUGGAUUUUUAAGGAUAGUAGGUUGGAGCAUGCUAUUUUGUACUAACCUCUCGAAGAUCUUAGAGAGAGGUUGCUUAAAGUUGGAGAACUUUAUCGGUUAUUGCACAACAUUCACAUCUAGGGUCCUGCUCCCUUCACCUUGGUAAUUCACCCUACUACCAAUUCUCACAGUCUUUCUUUUAUCAUUUUCGAUAUCCUCGACCUUUAGGCCAUCAUCGUACAAAUCCAUGGACAUCCUUGGGUACAUCAUCCGUAACUUUUUCAACCCAUCCUGGAAGAAUAUUUCGGACCACCAUACGAACUUGGUCCUUUUUAAAGGGCUUGUUCUUCAUUAAUCCGACCUUAUUCCUUCAUUUGGUCAAGAAAUCAAAGAAGGACUCAUUUUGCUUUUGCUUGGUGGACUUUAAAUCCCUAAUUGAUACUUUCAAAUGAGUAUUAUAAUCAUAUUGUUUGACAAAAGAAUUACAUAAAUCAUGGUAUUCAGCCUAGGCGGAUUUUUCUAGACCAUGGUACUAAUUUACAAUGGGUCCUUUGAUGUGCGUAAAAUACACACAUCUAAAUGGGGUUUUUAAGAUUGAUUUUAUGGACAUUUGGAUGUGAAUUGGUCUCAACACUCACCCUAUACGUAUGUUUGUGUGCAUUAGGUCUAAAAGAGGUCAAAGGAUGAUAAAGGAAAGAAUUAGAGCAUAAUUAGAUGUCAAAGCUGCUGAAACGAGCUAAGUAUGCCCAUGCAGAAGGUUAACACGGCCGUGUUGGAUUCAACACUGGCCGUGUUACCAACACGGCCACCAACACGGCCGUGUUGGAUGCGUCAAACAUGAAAGAAAAAGAAGCUUUUAGGGAGCACGACCACAAAGAGUAACACGGCCAGGAACACCAGCCCGUGUCCCUAACACGGCCAGGGAUACGGCCGUGUUAGAGGCGACAGGGGGUAUUAAUUAAAAGAAUGAAGAGAGGAAAAAAAGAAGGAGACUAGGGUUAGAACGUCCCAAACCCUAAUAUUUCUCUCUCUAAGGGUUUUCUGAGCUAAAACCAAGAGAAAAGGAGACUUGGAUCAAGGUUUCAAUCGGAUUCCCUUUAAAGAUUGAAGAUUGGGCGAGGUUCGUUGAUUGGUUUUCAAAUUGAGCAAGAGAAACAAGGAUCGAUUCAAGAUUGAGCAAGAGGAAUUAGGGCUGUUUACUCUCAUCCAAAGGAGUAAUCGGAUUUUUUUCUACCUUUACUCAUUUUUUUGUAAUUGAAUUCUUGUGGAUUUUGAUAAUGAACAUGAUUAGCUAGAUUGAUUUAAUCCAUUGGGAUUUCUUUACUAUGUUGGCUUGAUAUUAUAUUGUUGGAUUGCUUGGGUUAAUUUUGUAUUCUUCUUGCUUUCAGUAUUAAUAAGAUAAUGCAUUAUUCAUGAGACGUUGUGAAUUGUGUGUUUAGAUUGCUUUGUGUGAUUGAGAAGUCCAUUUGGCAAUUGGAAUUUUGAAUAGCAAGAACUGGUUAAUAAUCGCUUAGAGAUAAGGAUAAUUAACUAGCCAGAUUAAGAAUUAACAAAGGUUAAUAGAGGCGGAUUAAAGCUUAAUGCUAAUUUAAGAAUCAAUCGUUAUGAAGAGAUUCCAACUUUAGGUUAUUAGGUUUAGGAAUUCGGUUAUCUCGACAGAAAAAUCGAAUUUGGUUAAGAAUUCAUCCACGGGUAGCAUAAUUAGACUUACUGAUCCUUUAUCUUUUGUUUGAUUGCCAAUUAGUUUAGAUUCCCUUUGGGUUUGUCUUCUUGUCUUGAUUAUUUCAUUUAUCAAUUACUCUUGCAUCUUCCUUAGAACUUAGCUUGUAGCUAUUAGUUAGUUUAGAAAUUAUUUAUCGCUAAUUUUAGGUUAAUAUAACAAAGAACAAAGGAGCAACUCUGGGCUUUCACUUUCCCGAGGAAUACGACCUUGAUACUCGCCAUUAGUGCUAGAUUGCAUAGAUAGGUAUACUGCCUUAUAUUGUAGCUAACACGAGUAGCACCCAUCAAGUUUUUAGCACCGUUGCAGGGGAAAUUGUUUGAAAACUAGAGUGAAAUUUGCUAUUUGUUAAUUUAGCCAUUUUUUUCUUUUUUAUUAUUUUAUGAUUUUUAUUUUUAUUUGUUUAUUUAUUUUAUUUUAUUUGUACAUAUUUAUUUAGUUUAAGUUUAUGAUUCAGAUAGUGAAUGAUAAGGAGGUUCAAUGCUAAACUCAAACUCUUUGUAUGACGCAUUGGAAAAUGGGAUUAGGAACCAAGAGAGUUCUAAAAAUUGGGAUACCCGUGCAUCUUUAGAAGCUCGAGUGGAAUCGUUUUGCAGGGCUACCGAUCAACUCUCCACUCCUAUCCUUUCAUCUCAAGUUUUUUAUGAAUUUUGUUGUGGUUUACAUUUGAGUAAUUAUUAUCCAUUAUAUAGUGAUGUUGCUCAUUGUUCUUAUAACUCUGAACAGGUGAAUUAUACGGGAAGUUGGCCAAAUGACUCGUAUGGAAGCACCUACAAUCAAGAAUGGAGUAUUCAUUCACCCUUUGGAUGGAGCUUAGAUGGCCCAGAACCACCAGAAUCUCAGCAACCACAUCAGCAGCCUAAUCUUGCACCUUCAACUUAAGAUGAAGAGUUAGUGUCGGAGGAGCUGAUGAUGAGGUUCAUUACAAUUCUUGAUGAUAGAUUCCAACAAACAGAGAGGAUACUUGAAGAUCAACAAGCCUCGAUUAAGAACAUAGAGCAUCAAGUAGGCUUAAUCUUCAAGUUACUAGCUGAAGAGCAAUUGGGAACUCCAUCAAACGCUACUGAAUCCGAGGAGCAUUUGAGCGCCAUCACUUUGCAUUCAGGUGAGAAUUUUUCUGGUUUAUCUACUAUGUUUGACGAUGAUGCUUCUGUGUAGGACGAUUUCUUGAACAUGGAGAUAGAACCAGAAAAGGAAGAGGCAAACAUGAUUCCUCUGAAAGACUAUCAACAGGAAUGUACAGUUGAUGAUGUUGAGUUGCAGUUAGAGGAAUUGUUGGUAGAUUUUCCACAAGUCCCUUCGAUGAUGGAAGAUGAGCAUGAGUUAUCCAAUGAAGAAGUCUUGGAGGAGCUCGAGUUUCUUCUAGCAAGUGAACCAAGCCAGGGACUGAAGAAAACCAUCGACACUCCUGAAGAAAUUGCCCAACCAUCGAUCCUUCCAAUUGUUGAAACUCCAGCUUUCAAAUUGGAAGAGCCCCUAUAGCAUCAUGACUACGUUCAAUUAUACGAGGAGCGAGUGUUGCCCAUCAUAUUAGCAGCUUGCUUGACAGUCGGGAAGAGGAAGUCGACGAUUAUCCCUUUUAGCGGAUACUUGAAGCCAUUUGCUUGGAAGAAGGAUGGAUGGUCGUCAAUCCCCACCAUUUGCUUUUCACCAUGAGUCCAGCUAAGAAGACUCAUCACAUAAAAAAGAAGCGCUUUUGGGAGGCACUCCAAAUUUUAUUUCUUUUUCAUUUUUAAUUUUUUUUUACCUUUCAUUUUGAAACAUUUUAUUAGUUUUAGUCUUCAUAUUUUAUUUAAUUUUUAUUUCAGUUUCGAUUUUAAUUCCUUAUUUUAUUAUUUGCAGCCACUCCUCUACUAUAGACUAGCCAGCGCCCUGAUAUCCCUAAUGAUGCACCUCUUUUCACUCUGGAGCCAUAGUCAGGGCAGUAUUAGUUCUUUUCCCUUUUGCAUUUCUUAUAUUUUAUACACUGAGGACAGUGUGUCCUUCAAGUGUGGGGUGGGUGAUAUUUAUCCCAUCUUAAUUAUUUGUUUUUUCUUUGUGCAAUUUCUUUAUAAAAUUUUGAAAAAUUUUCACUUUGUUUCGAUGCUCUUACUGUUGACUUGCUUUUGAAAUCCUGUUUAUGUCCAUGUGAUCGGGUAAAACCGAUAGUGUUGAGUUUUGCGGAAGAAUGUAAGAUAAUUAGUUUGAGUUUUGCACUAAGUUGCUUUACUUUAUUUAAUUCUGUUUUGAUGAUUUUUGUUUGGAACCUACUCAAAAGCACACUUGUGAGAAAUUGAGCCUAAAUUGUAAGCAUACACUUUAUAUGCUUGUAUUUAUUUCUUGUUGAGAGUGCCGAUUACUGUCUUUACUUUUAGAACUUGCUCGGUAAUGCUUAUAAGGACCACAAGGAGAAUUUAACAGUUUGGUAUGAUAGAGGCACUUAGGUUUUUCAUUCUAGCCAAAUAGCCUUCAUUCGUUUAUUGAGUCUGUAGAUAACCCCUUCUUUCACCAUUUCUUUUAUCAUAUUCCAUUACUACUUAGUUUUAUUCUGCUUUGGGUUAUGAUUGUGCAUAUGAGUUGUUUUUAUUGGGAAUUUUUAUCUUGGGAAUAGCGUUGGAAUCUUGUAGCAGCUUACUUCAAUCCAAAAAGAAAUUCACUCUAUUAUGUGAAUGUUCUUCCCUUAUGAAAAAAAAGAGAAAGAAGAAAAAGAAAAGAAAAGAAAAAAAGAAUAAGAGGGAAAAGUGAUGAAAAGAAAGAAAGUAAGUGAGCUAAACAUUUUGACUUGAUUCCUAUUUCCCUUGGACUACUGUCCAUUGUUUACCCCUUGUGAUCAUUGUGACUUGUGUGCAGGUCAUGUAUUUCAUUGCAGAACACCAUAGGUUCAACUCUGACCAAAUUUACCUACCCUUACCUAAUCCCCAUUACAACCCUUAUAAAGACCUCUUGACAUGGUUGUUGACUCUCCAUAAGUGGUAGGAGUAGGAUUUAAGAGCAAGCAUAUAGUAAGUAAGGCAGUAGUUAAUGCAUUGAGUGAUUAAACACUACCCUUUAAACACUUUGAGUGAUUUAGAGUGAAUCUGGUGAGGAGUUGGUUCUGAAUAAUUUUGUUGAGACAGUAUUGUAUGAAUUAUUGGCAUCUCGGUUGUGAUACUUGAAUUGAUUGCUUCUUUGUUUGACUUACGCUUGUUAAGGAUAUGUGCAGGAGCUCUCUAGCUUGUCUGUCAGUUUAAGUAUUGUUCCUUAGUGGUUUAUUUUCCUUAUUUUACUUUUGAUUGCUUGAGGAUAAGCAAUGAGCUAAGUGUGGGGUUAUUUGAUGUGCGUAAAAUACACACAUCUAAAUGGGGUUUUUAAGAUUGAUUUUAUGGACAUUUGGAUGUGAAUUGGUAUCAACACUCACCCUAUACGUAUGUUUGUGUGCAUUAGGUCCAAAAGAGGUCAAAGGAUGAUAAAGAAAAUAAUUGGAGCAUAAUUGGACGUCAAAGCUGCCGAAACGAGCUAAGUAUGCCCAUGCGGAAGGUUAACACGGCCGUGUUGGAUUCAACACUGACACGGCCACCAACACGGCCGUGUUGGAUGCGUCAAACAUGAAAGAAAAAGAAGCUUUUAGGGAGCAUGGCCACAGAGAGUAACACAGCCAGGACCACCAGCCCGUGUCCCCAACACGGCCGUGUUGGAGGCGACAGGGGGUAUUAAUUAAAAGAACGAAGAGAGGAAAAAAAGAAGGAGGCUAGGGUUAGAACGUCCCAAACCCUAAUAUUUCUCUCUCUAAGGGUUUUCUGAGCUGAAACCAAGAGAAAAGGAGACUUGGAUCAAGGUUUCAAUCGGAUUCCCUUUAAAGAUUGAAGAUUGGGUGAGGUUCGUUGAUUGGUUUUCAAAUCGAGCAAGAGAAACAAGGAUCGAUUCAAGAUUGAGCAAGAGGAAUUGGGGCUGUUUACUCUCAUCUAAGGGAGUAAUCGGGUUUUUUUCUACCUUUACUCAUUUUUUUGUAAUUGAAUUCUUGUGGAUUUUGAUAAUGAACAUGAUUAGCUAGAUUGAUUUAAUCCAUUGGGAUUUCUUUACUAUGUUGGCUUGAUAUUAUAUUGUUGGAUUGCUUGGGUUAAUUUUGUAUUCUUCUUGGGUUCUUCAAGAGACAACACAAAUAGCUUGACAAUUUAGGUUCUGCUUAGCUGAGUAGUUCCCAUGAUUGUUACAUACUGUUUCAUAUGAACUUUUGGAUCACUAGUCCCAUUGAACUUGUUCAUCUCGGGCAUUCUGAACUUCACAGGCAGCUUGUUUUCACCUGUGAAAACCAGCUUUAAUUUCCAACAUGCCUUGCAUCUUGUCAAGCCUAGCGCUCAAGCCACUCACAGCUNNNUUGGCUCCUCAGUAUUGGCAUUAGCAACAGUAGUAGUAGUAGCUGCAGUGGUAGCAGGAGUCUCAGCGGCAACUACAGCCGGGUCAAUAAAAAUAAAGGAAUCAGCUGGUGCAAUUGGAGUAGCAGGUGGGCUUGGUUUGCAGCCAUCCUAACCAAAAGUCAUUGGAGCUCUUCCCGAAUCACACCCCUCAAAUCAUCAAUGACGACAUUCUUAAGGAUUUCAACGUCUUCCAUGUUAACUCUCUCGUUGGCCAUUUCAAAAGUACCUUCAGUAGCUUGGCACCUUGGUUUUUCAAGAUGCUCUAGUAUAACCCGAAUUCUCGGAGAAAUGGGUACUCUUCCCAACCUCCCAAUAUCUUGCCUCUUUCAAUCCACUAGAGAAUCUAUAUGGCUAAACAAACAAGGAUUAGUAUAAUGCAUGUGAUGCAUGAGAUGCAUGAUGCACGUGUAAUGCACAAAGACAGAAAAAAGGAAAGGGUUAGCACACACAAUAAUAUAAAAUUCAUCCUUCCAACCUUAUUACUCUUGCACAUUGUCCAUGGUGAGUCUUUUUUCCAUGGGACUUUAGGUCUGGGCUUCAUACCAACAAGGGAUAGUAAGUCCGACGCGCAUGCCAUAAUCUUUCAAAGCAGAUUUAAAAUAAACAAGAUAAUGUUUUUCAGUGUAAGUAUAAGCCUGUAUAUUUUGGCUUAGGGCAUGGAUUCACAUAUUUUGAGCCAAGACCUUUAAUACUUGGGCUUUAUACACUUGUAAGGAAAAACAUUUCAUACAGCAAGCAAUAGGGUUCCUAAAGGAGAUUAUUACUAUCAUUACCAUGAGCUGAUUCUUGGGUGAGGAUAAAAAGCUUCCACAAGUAAAAAGUGGUCUUUCUUGGCUCGUCUCCCCACUCAAAGGUCCAUGCGAUGAAAGAAAUUCACUCAUUACUUGUGAGUGAUAGUUAGCCAGUGUCACAAUUCUAGGGUUCGAGUGGAACCAAAGAACCAUUAACCGACGCCAUCGGGGUUAUAAGGACUAAAGUGCACAACAUAUGAAAAUGGUUUAGUGAUGUAAGAAUGAUCUAUUAAAUAAUAAAAUUAAAGACAAACAUGCAUUGGAAUCAAUUUCUCUUAUCCCUAGAGGAGUUGCUAUUGUGGGCAGCAGUUUCGAGUGCACACCAUGUGUCUUUAGCGACUACGGUACUGCAAGGCUUUUCAACCUAAUUGGGAAUACGCUAACUAGUCAUUGAGACUAGCGUGGAGAUGGAAGUCACCACUCGGAUAAUUCUCUAGGACACCUUUACUAAUGAGUGACAUUUCUCAUAUUCCAUAAGGAAGCUUAUGCCACAAAUUUAGAGAUGGAUCCUGAAGCCAACUUCCUUAUUUGUGUAUUUUAGUCUUUAAUUUUAUUGUUUAAUAUAUCAUUCCCUAUAAACACAGCAAUUCAUAUACAAGCAUACCAAAUAACACAUAUAGUUCACUUAAGCCUAGCCCAUUUUAUUAAGCCUAACCCACAUUAAGGUUAUUAAUCUAACUUGCUAGUUAAUUAUAUACAAGUCCUUCUUAGUCUAAUCCAAUUAUAAGUUAUGUUUUACCAAGCCUUUAUUCCUAUAUGGACUACUUAUUAUGAUAAGACCCAAUUGUGUGAAUCUAAUUCUAAUAUGGCCCAAUCCUAACUAAAAUAUGGUGAAGCCCACUAAGUCUACUUUGAUUUUAGAACUUAAGCCCAAUUAAUAUUGAUUAGCCUAAUGAACUACAAUUUUCAUAUUGGUUUCAUUUUAACCUAAAGUCCAUAAUGUCCCAUUUUAAUGAAGCAAUCAUGUUGCAGUUAUUUGACAUACAUUAAACCAGAAAUAAAUAAAAAUAAAGUGCAUAAAAUAAAUCUAGCUAUUACAACCCAUCCUACAACUAAAAAUGCAAAGAAAAGGCUAAAAACUAAGUUACAAUACACAAAAUCACCAAAAAUACAUCAAAACUUGUAAAAUCCAAACAUCAAGGCUGAGGGGAGCUAAGCCGAUAUAGCCAUCAGCUCAAGGCAUAGAGCCGAUCGGCUCAACCAGAACCAAUUGGCUCUACACUGAGGUGAUCGACUCUAGGCUUCUCCAGGCUGGUUUCUUCAAUUUCUUUGCAAUUCUCACGUCCUAAAACUAAUUUCACAUACAUUGAAGGUAAAAAAUUAAUUAGAAAACGAAAAAGAUAAAAUAAAAGAUAUAAAUAACAUCAGAUUAAACCAAAAACUCUGAAGAUUAUGCAAACCCUAUAAGGCUAAAUAUACAGUGAACAAACAUGGAAGAUUAAUCAUAUAAUCCUAAUUAUGUGACUAAUCAUAUUCAAAAUCCAAAGAAAUAUUAAUAUAUUCAAAACCCUAGUGUUUUUAUUAUCAGAUUCAAACCCUAGUAUUCUUAUUAUCAUAUUCAAACCUAAUACAAUCAGUAAUAUAUUACAAUCCAUAAGAAACCCUAAUCUAAUUGUGUCAAACAUGAAAAUAAGACAUAAAAGAAAUCCUAAUCAUGUUUCUAAAAAUAAUGAACAGGAAAACCAAUUUAAUGGGAGAGUGAUGUUGAUGAUGAUGAUGAUGAUGAUGAUAGCUUAGUUUGUGUCGCUUUCUUUUAUUUUUACUUUAUAUUUUUUUAUCUAUAAUUUGAUGGAUAAAUGCCUGCUUAUGUGAUUGAUAACUAAAAAAGGCAUAUCUAGACCUAGAGUUUUAAAUUGAACCUUGGCAUAUAAUUUGUAGCACAUUAGAUUAAAUUGAGCCUAAAAUAUAAAGUCCAAUUAGACUUAAGUGAGCUUUCCCAUGCUUAAUAAAAUGAACUGAACCUUUUAGACUUAAAAAUAUUAAAACAGGCCUUGGCAUGUAAUAUGUAGUCUAUUUAGGAUUAAUACUUUGUAACUAGAACAUUACUUAUAAUUGAGCUAGACUAAGCAGGCUUUUUUUAUAUAAUUAAAUAGCUAAUUAGGUUAAUCAAAUAAACGAAGAAUUGAGUUAAGCUUAAUAAAUUGGGCUGGGACUCGGUAGAUUUAACAUGUUGCAUUGCUUGAUGUGUAAAAUUAUUAUGCUGCAUUUAUAGAAAAUAUGUUAUUAAUUAAUAAAAUUAAAAGUAUAGAUAUAGAAAUAAGGAAGCUGACUUCUAAAUCCAUCUCUAAAUGCAUGAAUGUUUUCUUAUAGAAUCUAGUAUACCAUUCAAUUAGAAAAGUGUCCUGGUGAUUUACUUGGGUGGUGACUUCCUUUUCUCUGUCCUAGUUUACGUAGCUAGUUAGCGUGUUUUCCAUAUAGUUAAAAAGCCUUGUAGUGCAUAAUUGCUAAAUACACUUAGGUGCAUGCCCGAGACUGCUUCCCACAGUAAUUUUAUAGGAACUGAAUCUAUUUUAUGAAAGAAAUAAUAUGAUAUACAUAAGAGAUGAUACCAAAUUUUAGUAAAAUAAAUUAAAGAAAAUUAAUAGAAUGAUAAAAAAUAAGUUUAGACUUAGAAAAUGAUUUAGAAAUAAAGAAUCUAAAUCUUGCAUAUAUAUGAAUUAUAAAAUUAAAUGCUCAAAAGCUAUAUGGGUGGAGAAGUUAGCGAAUUUUGGUGGAAGCUAUAUUUAGUCUUGAUUCUGCAUACCAAAUGAGUGGAUAAUUUAUAAUGUUAUAGUUCUUAUAUAUAUAUAUAUUUUAUUUAUGAUUUAAUUGAAAUAUUUUAUUAAGGAAAUUAUUUUUAGUAUUAAAUUAAUUUAGAGAUUUUAUUAUUUUAUAUAGACUUUAGAACUACGAUAUUUUACUUUUGAUUAUAUAAAAAAGAAAUAGUUCGAUGAAUCGGUAUACAUUCAUUUUUAUGAUAUAUGUGAUUACGCCUUGAACGUUAAGUGUUAACUAAGAUAUAAUACUAUCUUUCAGAUAUUGUUUAAUUACAUAUUAUCUUUAGGACGUAUAUUAGGUAGUUGUCUUUUGAAGACACUCAUCUUUACGAAUCUCAUGAAUUCACACUUUGAACGACUGAGUGAGAUGUCUUUAUGCCUUUUACUAAUAGGAAUUAGUAAAGUAUAUUCAUAAGUGUAGAUAAAAAUAUUUUCUUGAUUUUAUUUAAAUUAUGAAUGUAUGAAUAAAUAAACAUACAGUUAGAAAUAUAAAAAUAUUAUUAUUCAUUGCAUAUAGAGUUUUGUGGUGUUAGUUUCUAAUCAGAAAAAUGAAAUUGAGCAAUUGGGCCAGUUUGGGAAGCCACGUCAGCAUUUUUCGUCAUCUUUCUUCCCUAGAGAAUAUUUUAUAAAAAAAAUUGAAAUCAUGAGUAUUUCAUAGCAAACUCUGAAAGCAUUAAUAACAUUGUUGAACUUUUGAAAGUUCAGGUAUUUUGUGGUAAUUAGGCCAAAAGCAAUGCACUUAAACUUAUUCGGUAUUUAACUUCUCCUUUCUCUCCCAAACAAGACAAAGGUUACUUUAGCCACAAAACCCUCGAAGUUGCAGAGUGAAGAAAGCAUGAAACUGAGGUACGCAAUGGUGUGUUCUUCGAAUCAGAAUAGAAGCAUGGAGGCUCACUCUCUUCUAAAGAUGCAAGGGUUUGAUGUGUCUUCGUAUGGAACAGGGGCUCACGUGAAGCUCCCUGGACCUUCCCUCAGAGAACCAAACGUCUACGAUUUUGGAACCCCUUACAAGCAAAUGUUUGAUGAUCUCAGGCGCAAAGACCCUGACCUGUAUAUUUUCUUCUUUCUUCCUCUGUCUUUUUUUUAAUAAAACUCUUUUUAUCUAAUUUUGCUUGAUGGGUUAAUUUGAAGAGUGCAGUUACAAGAGAAAUGGAAUAUUGCCGAUGCUUAAAAGGAAUUCAUCUGUGAAAUUGGCUCCUCAACGUUGGCAAGAUAAUGCUGCUGAUGGCUCAUUCGAUGUGGUUUUCUCAUUUGAAGAAAAGGUUUUCGAUAUGGUUAUCGAGGGUAAUUCCAUCUUCUCUUUUCGAUUUCGUUGCUUAUUGUUGGAGUAUUGGAUAAGUCUAUGUCCUUUGCUUAUAAAUUUGACGAUUAAUUUAAUUUUGUUAUAUAUUGUUUAUGCUAUGCCUAUAUGUAGAUGAAAGAGCAGUUGAUUAGAGACAAACUUGUACACUGGCACUAUACUUAACUGCAAAGGAUGAAAUAGAUGUUAUGGAAGGGAGAAUUAGGUUGAAGGUGUAGUAGUGACUAAAAUAAGAACAGAUGAUUUCAUGGCUAGAGGAGUUCAUCUUAGAAAACUUGGAGAUGAUUCUAGUUUGGUGAGAAUUUAUUAUUGUUAUUUUUUUUCUUAAAGUAAAUAUUCAUGAUAAUAGUAGAAAAUAUAAUAGUGUACUUGGCUAUUAAAACUGAUCAACAUCCAAUUGUUUCAUCCAUUAAAAUCUCUUUUUGUCCUGUAACAGUUUCGUUAUUGAAGAUAAACUCUUUGCAUCUUGUAUUUAUUUUCUUUGGAUCUUGUAUUAUUUUCUUUUCCUAUUACUUGUUGUGAAAGUUAAAUUUCUCAGGAUUGUGUUUAAUGUCAAUUUUGGUUUCAAAUCUGAAUUUUCUCAAGACAUUGAGGUGUUUGAGAGUAGGGUGUAAAAGUUUGUCUCUAGGAGAAAUCAAAUGAACUUUGUUGAAGAGUUGCAUGUAGCUUCCAACAGCUAACUCAUUUCAAUGAUAUUUUAGUUUUUAUCCUGGAUCUAAAGUUUUUUUAGGUUCGGCCAACUUCAGACUUGAGCUGUAAUGAAUCCUUUCCUUCUGAUUUUCUAUGGAAGCUGCUUUAUUUGCUUUCAACAGUCUAUCAUUUUGUUUCAAAAAGUUAUUUGGACAUCACACCUCUUGGAAUCUCUUUUUCCUAUCAAAAUGAUGGUUGGAAACAAAUUUCCUAAGCAAUUUGAUUUAUUUGUUGUGUGUGGCAGAAUAAGAUUCUGAGAAUUGGAUAAUUAUUUUUUGAUUUAUGCAUGGAGUCUGGUAUAAAAUUAUCCUGCUUUUGUAGUAUCAUUGAAAUAUCCACAUCUUAUUGUCUCAAUUGUGAGAUUGUUAUUCAUUCUAUGGUAUUUCCAUAGAUUGUAAAUGCAUGGCUUGUAUGGUGUUUUAGACACACUAUGUCAGCACACACAGGACUUAUACAGUUUCAUAUGAUUGUGAGUAUCUCUAUUAAAUACAGUUCUAUCAUGUUCAUAAAACUAUUAUGACAAGAUUUUUUAAGAUGGUGAGUGAAAAGCUUGUCUUGAUUCUUGAGCUAGGGAUUUGGUGAGGAACUUGAGAUGAAAAUUAAAAUGUUAAGAGACUGAAUCACCUAAAACCUUAACUAAACUAGUUGGGUGUAACUAUAUGCUAUCUUUUCACUCUAUUAUUCUAGGUAUAGGCAUUGUCUAGAGAGGUCCACUGCUGCUAAAACAUCAUCACCACUUCAUGUCAUCAUAGGUCUAAAACCUCUUCUUCUUUGCUUAUAUAACUUGGAUGUGCUUAAACCAGUAUUCCAUUUAUAAUUGGUCUUUCUAAUCAUUUAGAAUGACCAGGUUAGGAUAGCUUGGAGGAACAGUGGCCCCUUGAUUGACUUAGGUGGGUCCACCUUAAGUGCUUUUGUACCAAAUUACUUUAUGUAGUUAAAGUAAGUAAUAAAUAUGUGAUGUCAAUUUUACUAGAACCCAGAUCUUCUGCUUCAAAUUGUUGGGGACAUUGGGCACAUUUUUCCUGCUAAUAUUAAGGAAUCAGAUCAAUAUCUAAUUUACUGUGAUGUGUUAUUGUACAAUGCGAUGCCAACAAAGGCUUUCAAUAGUGAAAAGCUUUUAAAGGAAAAAUACUUAAUAUAUAUAAUCACGGAUCGAUUUUGAAGCUGAUAAGUUUAUAAUGACUUCUUACUUUGCUCGAUCAAACAUGUAUGCUGCAUUGCCUUUGAUAUGUAGAGAGGCACCUUAGAGAAACUAGCUAGUGCAAUGAGUUUAUUUGCAUAUCUUGGUAACUAUUUGUUGUUAAAUAUCUGACAUCUUGAUGGCAUUUUUUUCCUACUCCACAAGUGCAGUCCUAAUUCCAAGUCCUUUCUGGAAAUUAAGCGGGACCCCUUAAUAGUUAUUAUUUCUAAGUAGGAAACUUAAAAGAGCAAACUUAAUGUUGGUUUAGCAUUUCCUAUUCUUUCUAUUUUGUUAGAAUUCCCAAGUGGUAAAGUUUUGAGGAGUCUUUAUACUUCUAAUCUCAGGCAUUUUUGCCUUGGUUUAAUAAAAUUGUUUUCGGUCACAAUUUGGAUUCUAUCACAUGCAUGGACAGAAAUAGCAGAGUAAUAUGUAAACAGAAUUAAGAGUUGCUUGAAAGUCCAGGAAUGCGGAAGGGGAAGGUGAAGUAAUCUAAAUCUAAAUCAACAAAAUUUUUGCCACAAGUGUAAAUUGCCUAUGUGGAAUAUUUUGAAGGUUACAAGUAUCUUAUUUUUAUUGGAUAUAGGUGGAAUAGUGGGAUUUUAAUUUCAAAUAAACCUGUUUUUAGUAGCAUAUCUUAGGUAGAAAGUUACUUCAGAAAGCUGUCUUCCUGAUAUGUUGACACAUAAAAUAUCAUAUCAUUUGACAUUUUGCUUGCUAAGCUUUGACAUUUAGUUCGAACUGUGAUAUAGUUGGUGGUUGAUAGAGGUAUGCAAUCUUUCAACCAAAUUACCUACUUCAAUGAGUUACGAUAAGAUUGGUUCUGUUCAAUUCCCCACUUUUAUGACUGGGAUAAACAGGAUAAUCAAAUUACAUUUGGUAAUUGAUUUUUACUUUUCUAAUAUAUUUAGUAUUUUGAUUUUAUAAGUAUAUGUAUUUUGAGAUCUAUAUUUGUGCAAAAAUGAAGUCCAAUUAAAAAAAAAAAUCAUAUUCUGCCAGAAAGUAGAAAUCUGACAAAAAAAACAUGGAGAGCUGAAUAAAGCAAUCCAAAUAUAUUAUUUGCGACUGGUGAUGUAAAUGGUAUUAGAUACUUUGGCCCAAAUAAACAAAUUCACUAAUCAUUAAAACAUAUAUUUAUACAAUAAUUACAAUAAAAUAAAUUAAAAUUAAACUAACAGAAUUAAUAACCGAACUGCAGUGGUGAACUAAUUGAAUCUGGUUCUUUUGUCACUUGCCUUGGUAAUUUUGUCUUUUGCGGUCUUUUGAUUCUUUCAGUACUUGAUUAAUGCAGCAAUGUCCCCAAUUUCACGUACUUUAGUUCUUUUCUCAUAACAAAAUUUGAAAAGGGAACGAUGUUCAAUGAUCAUUCAGAGAUGGCAUUUUACCCUAUCAACAGUUGUAUGUAUGAUUAUUUAAUAAUUUCCUUGGAACUGUGCAGAUCUCCAUAAUCGGGAUCAUGUUCUUAUGAGAAGUGUUUUGGUGAUCAACUUGGAAGUAAAAGAUAAUCAUGAGGAGGCAGCUAUCGGAGCUCGACUUGCUUUAGAAUUGUGCCAAGAGGUGGGACUAAUAGCUUCAAACUAUUAAACUUUCUGCUAGAUGUUUACUAUUUGAUGGAUUCUGGAUACUUAUUUUCUGUGCAUAGAUUGAAGCAGCCGAAUCAUGGGAGGAUUCGAUUGAUGAGAUCAUUACUGCCUUCGAGACAAAGCAUAGGCGGAAGCUUUUAUAUAGUGUCUCCUUCUAUUGAAGAUGUCUUACUCAUGCUAACGAACUGACUAAAUUCCAUGUCAAUCAUGUCUAUAUAAUGUAUUACGAUUAACCACCUUUGAUAUGUACAAUUGUACCUCUUUUUUUUCUCUACGAUGUAACUCAAAGAAUUUUACUUCAUCCUUUUUAGUGGACUACAGACGUNNNUCUACUUAAUCAAUCAAUGUAUUUGAUUAUUUUAUUACCAUGUUUGGUUAUAAUAUAAAAAUAUAUAAUAUAAGAAUAUAUGAUACGGAACCUCUAAAAAUAAAUUUGAUUAUCCCUUUGAUUAUUACGGAUCCCCACAAUAUUAACUUGAAAACUCCAAGAACAAUUCGAUAUUAAUCCCUAAAACGGCUAGAAUUCAGAUUACUUAUAAAUAUAAUCAAAGAUUUAAAAUAAAGAAAACUUGUUUCUAAGUUCUAGAUUCGAAAUACACUACAAAAAGGUGAUCAGUCUACUUAAAUGUUCCUUUAGCAUGUAUUCUAUUCAAGAACACAUAUAAAAGAAAAUAGCCUUUUGGUUGUGAUUUAUCAAUAAUCUGAAGUGAAAUUCAUUUUAGGCCUUUAUAUAGCUUUUACAAAACCUAAAAACUCAUACUUUAAAAUAAACAAACUCAAUUUAUGGGCUUUAACAUAAACAAGUUUGGGCAGCCCAUUAUCAAAACAAUAAAACUAAUAUGCUUCUAAAUUGAUAUAUUUUAAACAGCCCAUUAUGACAAAAAUAUAAACAUUUAAUUCCACUCAAUUAACAAUGCUAAAAAACUAAAAAUAAACUUAAGUAAGUCCAUUUUGAAGUUAAACUUGAAUUAAGUUGUAAAUAACUUUAUUUGAUCUUGUCUCCAAGCCUUGGAUUCCUUGUAGCCUAUUACAAGCCAAAUUCACCAAAUCUUAUAGAUGACUAAUUAACGCUUGUUGAAUCUUCUUGGCUCGUGAUCUUGUUAUAGGUCCUUGAGGCAGAAUAAUUGGAUUGACAAUCUCCUCAGUUUUAUCCUUGCUUCUUUGGUCAUGGUCAUCCUCUUGGUGUGUAGGCUGUUCUAUAGCAUUUUUCCUCUCCUCAAAUAAAAAACAUCACCUACACCAAAUCAACUCAAAUCAGCCACAUUAAAUGAAGCACUUACAUUAUACUCACCUGGCAAAUCCACUUUAUAUGCGUUGUUGUUAAUCCUUUUAAGUAUUUGAAAAGGACCAUCUCCUCUUGGAUUCAACUUGAACUUCCUUUAGUGUGGAAACCUUUCUUUGCGAAAAUGUACACAAACCCAAUCGCCAGGUUGAAAAAUCAUUAGCCUCCUUCCUUUAUUCAUACGUGAAGCUACUUUAGCAUUUUACUUUUCAAUCAUUUCCUUAACUUGCUUAUGUAACUCCUUCAUCAAAUCUGCCUUUGAAUUAGCAUCAACACUCAUAAAAUUGUUAGGCGUCAAUGGUAAUAAAUCAAUAGGAGUAGGUGGAUUAAAACCAUAAAUAAUUUCAAAUGGAGAGCAAUUAGUAGUGCUAUGAACUGCUCUAUUGUAAGCACACUCCACAAAAGGUAAACAAUCCACCUAAUAUUUUUUUCUAUAAUUGCCCUAAACAAAGUAAUCAAAUUCUGAUUAACUACUUCAGUUUUGCUAUCAGUUUGAGGAUGGCAAGUAGUUAAGAACAACAACUUAGUUCCUAACUUUUUCCAUAACAUACGCCAAAAAUGACUCAAAAAUUUAACAUCUUUAUUUAUAAUAGUUGAUGUAGAAAUAAAAUAUUAAAAUAAAUUAUUUAAAAUAAUAUUAAAAUUAUUAACUUUUAAACUAUCAUUGGUCGUUGGAAUCCAGUCAUUGAUUGUUGUAAUUCGGUCAGCGGUCGCCAGAAUCUAGUUAUUGAUCGUCGGAAUUUGGUCAUCGAUCACCAGAUGAUGGUGGUUGGUGAUGUUUGAAGAUGUUUAAAUUAUAUUGAUAAAAAAAUAAAAAAAUAGAAUAAAUAUAAAUAUAUUGUAAGUAAUUAUGAUUACAUACACUUUUUUGUGUAUUAAGUAUUACAUCAAAUUAAAAAUGAAUGAUUAUGUAAUGUAUUUAUUAUUAAAUUAUAUAAAAAGAAUAUUAAUAAAAUAAUGAAGCAUGCAAUGUAAUCGUGAUUUCAUUACAUAUUGUAUUACAUCCUAUCAAAUUUAGUCAUAAGAUUUAGGGAGGUAAUAAGGCAGGUCCGAGCAAAAUCUUAUCAAAUUUAGUUAAAAUUGAACUAAAAAAAGCUACUCAACUAAAUUGAUUGGCUUAGUUUCGUUUUCUUUAUUUCUUUUAUAGAAACUUUGUUAGACAAUAGGUUUUUAGUUUUUUGUUCAAAAGUUGAUAGUUAACCUGCAAUCUUCAACAUCAAAUCGGCAAAUUAUAUCUUGAACCCGAGUACAUUGUGUAUUAUGUACCCGACGUCCAAAACAUCAGCUUUUAAAUUAAAUGAAAAAGUUGAAAUUUAAAUGGCACGUGCGAGGGCUUCAGUUUCAAUAUAAUGCCAUGUUUCAUGAUUGCAAUUUAAAAUAGAAUCGAGAAGUGAAAUCAGUUGUUUGGUAUUUAGAUUCCCUAUUUUUUAAAUCUUCAAAUCAGAUUUUAUAAACUUUAAUUCUUCUUUUUUUUUCUUCCUAUUUAUUCUUUUUUUUUUCUUAUUUGGUGCAUAAUCUUUCCUUUUAUUUUCAUUAUCUGUGAAAAAAUUCAUUUAUAGAAAAAUCUAUGAAUAAGUGCAGAUUUUGAAAAUAUAUUUGACAAGCUUAAAUUAUUCAUUUUUUCUUUUUCUGUUCUUAUUUUCAUUUUAGGUUUAUUAUUUUAUAAAGAAAUUGAUUGAUGGAGCAGUGAAUGGAUGUGAAUUUAAAAAUACGAAUGAACAAAUUAAAUCUGCAGUUGAAUAUACAACGUAAAUCUAGAUUUAUUAGCCAAUACAGGUAAUUAACAUUAAAGUUUAUUAUGUAUCAACUAUAGGUUCAUCAACAUAUUCACAAUUUUGAUAGCAGUUUUAUUAUUGAAAUAGAAUAGGUUCAUUAUAUAGCAUAUUGACAUUCAUUAUAUAUGAACUAGAGGUUCAUCAUUUAUUGUUUUAUUUUUUAAAUGGAAUAAGUUCAUUCUAUAGUACAUUGAAAUUCAUCAUUUUAUUCUUAAUUUUUAAUAGUUUCAUUUUUAAAAUAAGAUAUGUUCAUUAUAUAUAUAAUGGAGGUCCAUUAUGUGUGAAUUACAGGUUCAUCACUAUAUUCAUCAUAUUUCUAUUUCUACAGCUGAUAAUUAAAAUAAUACUUUGAAGGAUUUACUUGGACUGUCUGUCAAAUUUGUUGGUGAAGCAUAUAGUUUAUAUAGUGAGUAUGUAUUCAAAAUGGGAUUUAGUAUUAGAAAGAGUAAGUAAAGAUAUAGAGCAUAUGGCAAAAGACUAUCAAUGAAAAAAAAUUAUAUUAUUAGAUUCAUCGGUUUCACUUAAAUCAAUAAAAAAGAUUUUUGUUUUCUUCCUCACAUUACUUAAAGGAACAUCCCAAUCUAUACUGUUAUUAUUAAAUUCAUCAGUUUUAGGCUUUUUUCUGCCUUUGUGAAUUCUUCAUAUUGAACAUUUUUCUUUAUAAUGUAUUUUCUACCUAUUUUCUCCUGUAAAAUAAUAAUUAUAAGAAAUAAGAACUAAUAAUGCAAGAAUACAAUCCAUUAAAUGGAUUUUAUUAAUAAUGAACCUUAUAUCAUUAACAAAUGAAUAUACAAGUUUUAAGUAAUGAACAUGCUAUAUGUGAAUAAAAUUUGUAUUAAUAGGUUAUAAUCGACAUGUUCAUUAUCUACAAAUGAUAGGUUUAUCACAAUAUCAAUUGAGGUUCAUCAUCUACUAGCAACAGAUUCAUGAAAGUAUCAUUUAAGGUUCAUCAGGUUCAUGCUUAUAAAAUAGAUUCGUAUAAAAAAUUAUACAUACUAAUUUAAUAUAUAAUAAAAAACUAUAAAAAAAUUAAAAAUUGACAUUCUUAAAUUUAAUAAAAAAUUGCAUACAUUUAUUUUAUAUAAAUUAUACAUACAUCAUAUUCUUUUAAAGCAUAUUCUUUAUAUAUAAGAAGAUAAUAUAUUCACGAAUAGCAUAAAUAAUAUUUUUUUAAUUAUAGGCUAUAGUUUCAUAAAUUUCAAAAUUUAAAUUCUUUGAUAUUUUUAUCACUAAUUUUGCAUGUAAUAUAAUUAUUUUAUUGGAUUUAAAUGUCAUUCUCAAAUGAAAAUGGAUAUAUUUGUAGAAUAAUGAGAUUUGUAAAAGUUUGAAGGUUAAAAGAUUAUAAUGGAAAGUAAGAAAUAAUGUAAAUAUUUAAAUUUUAAAAGAAGAGAAGUGUAUAUUGUAAACUAUCAUAAGUCUGCAAUCUCUUUUGGCAAACGGGUUCAUUUGGCAAUACAAUAUUCUAUUUGUAAUAUGUUGGGAAUUUAGGUUGUGCCUCAUCAUUGUCGGUAUUUAGGCCUUCCUUCAGUUGUUGGUAACCAGAGAAUUCAUGCUUUUUGCUUUCUGAAGGACUCUGUUUGGCUAAGCCUUGAUAGUUGGGGGUGAUCAACUACUUUAGGAAAAGAGGUACUAUUAAAGGCGGUAAUACACCCCCCACUUACACUAUGUCAGUUUUCCUUUUGCCCAUCAUGUUGUGUGAAGAGAUUAAAGAUUAAUGAAUGGUUUUUGGUGGAAUCAUAUUAAUAGGCAAAGUGGAUGCACUCGUUGGCUUUCAUGGUCCAAACUUUGUGUUCUGAAAAAUUGGAAACUUUUUAGAAACAUUCUAAAAUUAAAUACUGCUUUUUUUAACUUUUUAAAAAAAAAAAAAAUAGUGUGGUUAUUCUUUUAUAAGAAAAAUUAAAAAUUCGUAUUUUUAAUAUUUUCACAAAGUAACAUUGAAAAAACAAAAAUUUAUACCAUAUCUUUAUAAAAAAUCAAAACGCAUGAAUAUUUUUGUAACUUUUUCAAAAAAAUUUACGAUAUGGGCUUUUGUUCACUUCAUGAUUUCAACCUUACAAUGCUUUCUAAACAAGUUUGGCGCCUCCUAAGACAACCAGAGUCAUCAGCUUCCAAAAUCCUGAAAGCUAAAUACUUCCCUACUACCUCAUUUAUGUCAGUCAAUUUGGGAAAGAGGCCAAGCUAGUAUGGAAAAGCAUUUGGAUCUCAAGAUCAGUUUUAGAACGGGGUUGUGCGUGGCGUGUGGAUACUGGUCAUACAAUUAAUGUUUGGGCUGAUGCAUGGCUUCUAGGUUCUGAAUUUUUUGGCAUGUUCCAGCUCCUGUCUCACCUCCAAAUAUGGUUUUUGCAAUAAAGUGGACUCGCCCUUCUUCCGGACUCGCCCUUGCAAUAAAUUUCUGCUUCCGCUAUUGAUAUCAGAUAAGAGGGUGUAUGACAUGUUUCUAGAACAAAAAAAAUAAACAAAAUUGAUACAAAAAUAUGCAGCAAAAUAAAUCAAAUUAUAUAUACAUAAUACCUAUAUAUCACAUAAUAAAAUCAUUAAAAUUUCAGAAUAUGCAACAUUUUUAGUACAAUAAAAAAAAAAACAUUUCCAUAAUGUUCGUUACUGUUAUUUAUUAAUACACAUAUAUUUUUGUGAAAAGUAACUCUUGAUAAUGCAACGUAUAACUGCCUAUGACAGAAAACAUGAUCGUGUAUAUAAAACAAUUUUUUAUUGGAAACUAUCUUCUUUUUAAUAUAAAUGAGAAAUUUCAGUAUAAGAAAGAACAAUUAGAGGUAUAAAAAUUCUUUUGCCACAAUGCGAGUCAAUUAUUAUAAUAGCUUCAAUGAUUUUAACUCCUUAAUUAGUUAUUAUUAAUCUUGUUCCAUUACAUAAUCCUAUGCUAGGGUUAAUAUUACUCAGUAACAUAAUAGGAGUAUUUUUAAUUUUAAUUUCGUGUUGUAGAAAACAGUUAAAGUUUAAACUGUUUAAAAAUUCAAUGGGAUAAAGUACUUCUAAUUCAUCAAUGCCACUUGAUGUUUACAUAUUGAAUAUGAACUAUAAUAUAUUUUUCCUUUUUCAAGUAUUAAAUUAAUUAUUUCUUCAUUAAUAGUAUUAACAAUCUCAUUAGUAGGUGUUAUUAUGGACCUAUCUUUAAUAUACAAAUUAUUAGCUAAAUUAUUUAGUAAAUUAAUUAUUUCUUCGAUAAUUUAUUUUACAGGAUCGAUAUAAUUUGUUAUUAAUAAGUUUUAAGGAAUUAUUACCCAAUUACUUUCAAUAUCAUCUCUAUAAAUUUUUUCUAUACGUGUUGUGCCAUUUCCAAUUGAUAAAGUCCACUUUGCAAAAUUAUUAAGUUCAUUGUUGUGGUUGGUAUCUUUAGAUAUAGAAAUAAGCUACAUAUUAAUAGUUAAUUUAUAUAUUUUAAAAAACUCUCAUAAAUAAGAUUUUGUUAUUGACGCAUUUAUAAUUUUUAUUUUACUACUCUUAACAACAACCAGUAGGAUCUAUCUAAAAUCACCGUCCAAUAAAAUAGAUUUACCACCAAAUAGAUUAUCAAUUUUUUCCUCUUUUGUUUUAUAUAAAAUAUCUUUUAGCGAUCUAUAUCUAAUGCUUCAAAAAAGUAUUUAUGACUCAUAGGAGCCUCAUCCCAAAUGAUUAAACUUGUAUGUUCUAUUAAUUUUGCUAAUUGAGUUUCUUUCUUAAUUUCACAUGUAAAAAGUUCAUUUAUAUUUAUCGGUAUUUUAAAUCUAGAAUGAGCUGUUUUACCUCCUGAUAAUAACAAAGCAGAAAAUUCUAGACGAAGCUACAAACUAACACAAUUUUACAUUUUGAUCUAAGUUUUGCUAUAACAACUUCAUAUAAAUAUAUUUUGCCAACUCAUCCAUAUCCAUAAAUAAAAAAUAAACGACCUUAUCAUGCUUGAUGACGGAAAUAAUAUCAUCAUAUAUUUUACAUUGUUAGAUAUUCAAAGAUGUAACCAAAUUGUCGUGUUUCAUUUUUAGCUCAUUUAUAUUAUAAUUUAAUUCUUGAAUAAUUAAUUGAUUUUCAGUAUCACUAAUAAACAAUCUAUUAGGUAAAGGUAAAUCAUGAUCAGCUAGAGAAGUUGAGCUUUUAUUGAAAAAAAAUUUCAGUUCUUGUAGUACUAUGUUCUUUAAGUAAUUGUCUGAAAUAGAUGUAAGGGGAAUUUCUAAAUUAUGUUGUAAUUCAUAUUUAAUAUCAUCAGCAAAAUUCUUCCAAAAUAGAUUGAAUAAUUUAUUCAGAUCAUCAACUUCACAAAAUAAUAUAAGAAUAGUAAAUAAAUGAUGAAGUUUAAGAAGAUGUAACUGAUAAAAUACUUUCUUCCAUUGCGCUUACCCACUCAGUAUCAUUUCCUAUUAAACCAUAUGCAUUGCACACAGACUGAAAUAUAGGAUGAAGUACUCAAUUCAUAGUUUUAAUAUCUUCAGAAUUUGUAGGGUCCUUGAUAAUAUUUAAAAGCAUUCUAAGAUAAUAAAGUUCCUAGAAUUUGAAUGGACAUAAGCAAUUUUACCUAUAGAGUGACCUUUUUUCUUCGAAUCUAUAUUUUUUUCUUUUCGUUGUCAUACCUACUGAGUAGGGAAUUCAACAUAUAUAAGAGUUCUAGCAUCAUCAUAAAUACAAUGUAUUCAUCCACUCAGUAAACAUAGUACGACUGAAUUCAUCAUCAUUUGCAAUGUAACUUAGAUUGUCAGACGGUUUAAAUAUAAUUUUAUUCAUAUUUUGUAAAUGUAUUGUCAAUUUCUCAAUAGUUGGUUCUCUAUGCUGUAUUGAAAAUUCAAAUAAUCGCUAAACUGCUCACACGAAGAAAUAUAACGACAAUCCAGAUGUAUUUUUAUUUCAUCAAUAAUAUGUUCAUCAUUAUUUUCAAAUGUAUUGAUAUUUUUUCUAUAAUUUGUGAUAACUGCCUGAAUUCUAUCAUUGCCUUUGUUAAUAUAUUUGAAUAAAUACUUAACCACUGUAGACUUAAAAUAGUACUUAAUAUUAAUAUGAGCUUCACAUUUACAUGUUAAAUCUUUAUUAUAUGGAACAACAAAACAAUUAUCAAUUCUUCCACUAUUUUUUAUAAUAAAAUUUUCAUUGUUUCGCCAUUUGUAUAUAGCUAAACCAUUAUUAUCAAUAAUUAUUUCUUCCUGAUAGUAUUUAGGAUAUACUUUCACUAUUUUUUUAUAAUAAAUUUCCAUUGUUCCGCCAUUUUAUAUAGCUAAACCAUUAUUAUCAAUAAUUAUUUCUUUUAGUGUUUAGAAUAAAAUUUACUGCACUUAUUAUUUUUCAUGCAUGGUGAGGACGGAUUAAUAGCACCACAUGGAUCGUGUAUCAUAAAUUUUGAAACAAUUUGAUAUGCAUCAUAUUCUAAUUCCUUAAACGGUAGCUUGACAGAAAUCAAUAAAUCAAUAUUGGAAGGUUUUACCGAUUUACUAUUUUUAUGCAACCAUACUAAAAAAUGAAUAUAAGAAAUUCCUUUUUUUUUUUGAAAUUCUACAAUAUAUAAUAAACCAAGAACUCUACUAAUUUCAUCCAUCAUCUGAUUAAUUUUUACUUUAUAAACACAAAAGAUGAUAUCGGGUCUAUUGUUAGGCUUUUGACCUCGAAUAUAAUCUAACAUCCGUUGAAUUUCAGGCUAUAAGAGAUUGCAAGUAAAAGUUAUAAAUAAAUUUGGAUGACCGUAGAAUUUAUAUAUAACCAUUGUAUCAUGGUAAUGUUUAAUCAUAUAUCUCGGACUUCCAAUAUAAGUAGAAGGAAAAUUAUAACAAAUGCUCCAAUAUCAUUAGGGUUAUUACAGCCAUGCCACACAACAUUUUUAAUUCCUAUAUAUAAUUUAGAUCUUAAUUAUUUUUUAUUUUUUCUAAUAAAAUCCAAUCUUUCUUCCUCAAAACACGAAAAAGCAUCAACUAUAAAUUGCUGAAAUAAACGACCGUCUUUUAAUAAUAAUGUCCCUUCAUUAAAUCAUUGUUGGAUUAGGUAUACAUAAUAUUCUCGCAUAGUUACGUAUCUUCGACCAUUUUUAGAGUUUGUAUUUAUGGAAGUAUAUUCAAUAUCACUUAUAUAAUCAUCUUCACUAUAACGAAAUAAUAUAGGGUACUGCAUUGAUAUUAAACUUAGGUGUAAAACACUAAUUCAUUUUAAAGUUCUAGUUUUAUAUUCGAAAAUGAUAUCACGUUCUUUUUUAAAUACACGACAAUCACCUACUAUUAGACUGACUAUCUCAAAAGACGAUGGCAAAUUAGAUUGUGCACCAUCACGGGAUCUUCUUCCAAUUAAUCUUAAUCUGACAUUCAGAAAAUCAUUUUCUUUAAAUCUGUUGUGAAUCAUUUGACAUUCAGAGAAUUAUUUUCUUUAAAUCUGUUGUGAGUCAUUCUAAAUGAUUUUACAAUUUCAUUGUGAUCAUUGAACAUUUCAAUAAGACUUUUUAUAUUGUUUCAUUCACAGAUUUAUAGGAGUCAGUGUUUAAAAAUGACGAAAUUAUAUUUUAUACCUUAUUUUUUGUAUUAUAAAUAUACGAUUGAGCAAAUUUUGGUUUUUCACCGUUAAGAGGCAACAAAGAACCAAAAAGAUGAUGAUUCUGUCCACAAAUUUUGAACACAUAAGGACUAGAAGUUUUUUUUUUAUUUCGUAAUCUAUUUUUUCACCCAUUAAAGUGAAAGAAAAUAUAGAAUUAUAGAGUCUUAUAUUCUCUCUAAAUUGUGCUAAAACUGGACCAUUAUUCUAAAACAAUAAAUUAUCAAGGAAAUCAAGAGUUUUAUGAAGUAAAGGUAAUUUAAUUUUUUCUUUUCUGUAGCAAAUUGUAUAAUUUUUUGCGGCAUCGUUAGUUAAUUCACCAGCAUGCUCGGCAAGCCAGUACAAUGCACCACAAUAUUGACAUUGGUUGUACGGAAAAUCUAAGUCUGAUUUCUGGAUGUACGACCCUAUUAAAUAAGCUAAAUUUAAGACUAAAAGUAUGUAGUAAAAGAAUUAGGGAGAUAACUAUAUAUUAACUUCAUACUUAUGUUACUGGUGGAACUUUGCACAUCCGUCAGAGAAACAUAGGAUGGUUGCGUAAUUUGACUCCUUUUACAUCUUAUUACUUCUGCUUAUAGGAAGAUAUUGUAAUUUGUAAUGUUAAAUCUUUUAAAGGUAUAAGCAAAUUGUGUUUCAGACUACUAUUUUAUUAAGUUAAAAAAUAAACUAUAAACUGCCAACUUGUAAAUUUUAAAUCUUCAGUAACUGAUAUCUCAACUAAAUCUAGGUCUACCUCGAAAGGCAAAUGAAAUGAAGUAUCAUUAUAGAAAUAGUCAAAUGUGUGUCUGGAAGCAUGAAUUGAAGGGGUUUCUAUAAACAAUUGAAUAUUCAUGUUAGAUAGUGGUAUUCUUUAAAUUAUGUUCUUAAAGUAUUUUAAUAGUAAUUGAGUGCGUAACAUCUAAUUCUAUCAAAAUACUAAUUAGAUUACUUAAGGUCUUUAAAUCAGUUUCAGUAGGCUCCAUGCUAUAAUUAGAAAGGUUCAAAAUUUUUAGAUAAUCGAAUAUGCUCAAGACUAUAAACAUAAACAUGGAAACAAACAAUUGCAUAUUGAUACAUAUUAAAGUAUCGAUACUGUAAUUUAAAUAUGUAUGCAUGAUGAUUGUUAAUGAUAACAAUUCUGGAUUUCCAAUAUGUACGUCUUCAAUUAGUAGCGUCUACAAAUUUUACAUAAAACAAAAUUCCAAUAAAUAAAUAACCGUAUGAAAGUUAGAGUAAAACAACUAAUUAGAAUGUGAUAAGUGCUAAAGGCACUUACGUUUUGAGCUUUAUUUUACAUUAAUUUUAUUUUUAAUUGAAUCUAAUUUGUUUGUUCAAGCUUGAUUUUCAGUUCUUUUAGGCACUUUAAGGAUGAUACAUGUCAAGGAGUCAAAUG